Molecule: long non-coding RNA, 53594 nt
Filed under: Sorghum bicolor (sorghum)
Lineage: Eukaryota; Viridiplantae; Streptophyta; Magnoliopsida; Poales; Poaceae
Description: long non-coding RNA (SBIC_LNC000771)
Source: RNAcentral
CGAUCUGGGGGUGAGGGGGAUCCUGUCACAAUAAGCGACUGGUCCGGUGGCGACAGGUCUUUGAAGGACGCUCGCCCCGUGGACGAGGAGGUCGAGGCUUCUCCUGUCGCGGAGCGGACGCCUUGGCCCAUCGGGCUCCGCUCCAUCGAGGAGCAGAGGAAGAGAGGAGAGGAAGAAAGCAAGCGGGAGACGCGGCAACAGCUGCAGGAGGGGCAGCAGCGGCCGCAGCAAGAAGGAGAAGAAGGAGAGGAGGGGCGGCGGCUAGAAGGAGCCUAGCUUGCGGAGCUGCUGGAGCAGGCCGGCGGCAGGAGCUGCGGGAGCUCCAGGAGCAACAACAGCAGAGGAGCCAGCAGUUGGAGGCACUGCUCGAGCCACCACCUCAAAGUCCGCCCCAACCUGAAACCGGGGAGGAGGGUCUGCCGGUCUAUGGUCUGCCGACCCCGACGUGGCUCCGUCCAGGAGCGCCCGCGUCUAUCCCGGCGGAGCCAGGGUGAGCGGACGGCGUGGUGGCGCUCGCGUGCAUGAUGCGCAUCCUGGUGGACCCACAGUCCGAGAUCAAGGGCAUGAUCUACGGCAUCGAGGGGAUCGCUCCCGGAUUCCUUCGAGAGCGUCGAUCAUGGGAGGAUCGCAUUCCCGCCGAGGAAGACGAAGCCGGGACAUCGGGUGGUGGUGGUGCCAGCGAGACCGGGACCUGGAAGACGGUGGACGAUGACGGGCGGUUCCUCUCCCUUAUCGACCUGUUUCUACGCCACGGGGGGUCGCUCGAGACCGUCGAAGAGCUCAUCCGGGGCGUCAAGGCACGCGCGGAUCAGGAGAUGGAAAACUGGUGCCCUCACCGGAUCCGCAUUCGGGCCUCCACCGACCCGUCUGAGCCUAACAUCUUUUUGGAUGAUCGGAAGGAGGCCGAAAAGUGGGAGCAUCUCGAGGAGCUCCGCCUCUGGAUGAAGCAUGUGGUGGGGCUCCUGUCCGACGUCGUCAAAAACGGGCUCGGUCCGGCCUACUUCGUAAGUGUUUUUGGGUCUUAACUACCAUAGGACGUUUGGUUUUGUGUUCUUACCGUCCGUCUGCUAACCCGUAGGAUCUGAAGGAGACCUCCCGCUUUAAGUCGAGUUUCAUCCACGCGACAAGGGGCGGCUGGGAGCAACUCCCUCUCCUCAAGGACCAACUCCUGGAGUCACAGGAGAAACUCCUCAAGGCUUAUAAGGAGCUUUUGGCGCUCGAGGAGGAGAAGAAGGAGAGGGAGGCCGCUUUGUCUGACGCUCGGGAGGUCUCGAGGAAGGCGGUGGAAGAGGCCAGGCUAGUGAGGGAGUGGUCCAUGAUGGUCGAGGAGGCUGCGUCCAAGGCCCGGGAAGAGGCCGUGUUUUUCAAGGACGCGGCCGCUGACCUAGACAAGGAGAAGGGUCUCCUCCGGGCUGACCUCGCCUCUGCCCAAGAAACCUUCCAAAAAGAUGAAGGCGGAGUGCGUGAGGGGCGAGAUUGCCCGGAGCGCCGCAGAGGAGGCCAAGAAGAAGGCCCUCGAGGAUCUCGAGGCCGAGCGGGCUCGAUCUCGCAGCCUCUCUGAUGACGUCAAUCGUUUGAAGAGGGCGUUGCUGGAGAAGGACGGAGCUAUCGCGCAGGCGGGCAAGGCGAUCGCGGACCUGCGGGUCGCCAAUACUGACCUGGUCCGCUCUCAUAGGGAGAUCGAGAGGGUCAACACUGAUUUGGUCGGUGAAAACACGGCCCUAGAGGAGAGGGUUCGCGGUAUGUUUCUAUCAUCGAGUUUCCUUUCCAAGGUGUGCUUUGUGUUAUCUAACUUCUCUGUGUCGGCCUUUGUAGGGCUUAAAGAUGAACUGCUGGCCGUUCAAGUUGAGGCCCGCUCCACCAAGGCCCAGCUCGAUGAGGAGGUCGCUUUGAGCGGUCGGCUGCGGACCGCGAUAAGCGAUCUUUUGGCCUCCUGGGAGCUCGAGCCUGUGGACGAAUCGAGGGAGGCGGCUCGAGGCGACGCACUGGUCGAUCAGCUGUGUUACCUAGGUGCUACGCUGAGGGACCGGGUGCGAGACGCCCUUCAUAUCGGGGUGAACCGAGCGAUGGCGGUUGUCUGCUCGGGCUUUUCCUAUGAUAUGGAGGUGGUGUCCCACAGCUUCGUCACCGAUAUUUCCAAGACCGACGUGGAGAACGAGGAGAGGCUCCACGCCUUGAUCGACGACGCGGAGGUUCCUUGGGAAAGGCUGGCGAAACUGUUCGAGCUAGAAGUGCUUCCUCCCGAGACUAGCUCGGGCGCGGGCGAUGUUGGAGUGGGUCGAACACAGACUAAGGCCUGUGAGCCUAUUCUGGGUGCUAAGGCCCCUUGUACAGUACUUAUUGUCUGUCUUAAGUGAUAUUGUAUUUUUAAGCGGUUUAUAAGAUCUCUGAAUAUUUGCUUAUUCUUUUGUUCGCACCCUCUUUUGUUUCUCUUAUGCCUAUGUCUGUAUUCCUUGCUCGGUCUUUUGUUAAGGUGACCUCGAUUGCCUCGAGGGUGAGGGAGCGAGUAGAGUUACCAUAGCCUGGGGGCGUAGGAGUUUCUCAGGCUCAUCGUCUCUCGGCCCUUAAGGGGCUCGAGGUGCCUCUACUACUCGAUCGUGCGAGGUUUACUGGUAGGAAAGAAAAAAAAUCACUUGGUUUUUUUAGACGUUGGGGGGGCCUGCUAGCCCCCGAGGGGGUAUCGACUAUGAUGGGUCAUAGUUGGUACUCCCUUCUAACGUCGAGAUUUCGACUAAUGAAAAAGUAAAUUACUCGAGGGAAAGAUCUUAUCCAUUCAUGCAUUCAAUCAUAAGGUCUUGGUAUAGAAUGUACAUGGGAACAUGAAACUUUGAAAUUCUAGGGGUAGAAUCGACGUAGCUGUUCGAUGUUCCACGCGUUGGUGAAGAUUGCUGCUUUUUCGUCUGUGAGCUUGUAUGUCCCUUGCUUCAGGACCUCGGCCACCACGUAUGGGCCCUCCCAGGGCGGGGUCAGCUUGUGGCGUCCUUGGUUGCUUUGCCGCCGCCGUAGAACAAGAUCACCCACAUUCAGAUCCUUUUGCGCACGUGCUUGUCGUGGUAGCGUCGAAGCUUCUGCUGGUAUCUGGCGGAGUUGAGGAGGGUCAUGUCUCGAGCUUCUUCGAGCUGGUCAACCGCGUUCUCUCGAGUCUCCUUUUUUGAUUGCUCGUUGUAUGCUUUGAGUCGAGGGGACCCAUACUCGAGGUCGGUUGGGAGCACUGCCUCGGAGCCGUAGACCAUGAAGAAUGGGGUAUAUUUCGUGGCCCUGCUUGGUGUCGUUCUUAAGCUCCAUAGGACCGAAGAGAGCUCUUCGACCCAUUUCUUGCCGAAUUUCUUCAACCGAUUGUAGAUUCUUGGCUUGAGUCCUUGCAAUAUCAUGUCGUUGGCACGCUCGACCUGGCCGUUAGUUCGAGGGUGAGCUACUGCCAACCAGUUCACACGGAUGUGAUGCCGGUCGCAGAAGUCCAAGAACUUUUUGCCGGUAAACUGAGUGCCGUUGUCGGUGAUGAUGACAUUGGGGAUCCCAAACCGGUGAAUGAUGUCGGUGAAGAAAAGGACAGCUUGCUCGGAGCGGAUGUUCGUGAUAGGUCGAGCCUCGAUCCAUUUGGAGAAUUUGUCGAUGGCUACCAGCAGAUGGGUGUAUCCUCCUGCCGCUUUCUGGAGAGGUCCCACUAGGUCGAGACCCCACACCACGAACGGCCACGUGACAGGGAUCAUUUGGAGGGCAUGAGUGGGGAGAUGCAUCUGCUUGGCGUAAAACUGGCACCCAUGGCACGAGCGCACGAGCUCGAUGGUGUCAGCUACGGCCGUUGGCCAGUAGAAGCCCUGUCGGAAAGCGUUCCCUAUGAGGGUCCGUGGAGCGGCGUGGUGGCCACAAGCCCCCGAGUGUAGAUCCUCGAGGAGCUUUCGGCCUUCUUCUAUGGUGAUGUAGCGCUGCAAAAUUCCCGUCGGGCUUCGUCGGUAUAGUUCGUUGCUUUCGCCGUAGAUUACGUAUGAUUUAACCCGUCGAGCGAUACGGCGGGCCUCGGAUCGGUCUUCUGGUAGCUCGCAUCGAAUUAGGCAAUCGAGGAACGGCGUGCGCCAGUCGAACGGUCGACCGAGCCGCUGCUCCUCCUCCAUUACCUCGGCUCCCGCUAGCAGUGCUUCGAUGGUGUCGGUUCGGAGGGGAGCGGCUUCGACGCCAGCCCCCGAGCCCAAGUCGACAGAAGGCUCGUGCAGAUCUCUUGAGAACGCAUCGGGCGGGACCGUACCUCGAGUCGAGGCAAUCUUGGCGAGUUUGUCGGCUGCCUCGUUGUAGCAUCGGGCGAUGUGGACGAGCUCGAGGCCGUGGAACUUGUCCUUGAGUCGACGUACCUCCUUGCAGUACGCCUCCAUUUUCGGGUCGUGGCAGUUGGAGGCCUUCAUCACUUGGUCGUUGACGAGUUGUGAGUCACCUCGAACGUCGAGGCAUCGAACUCCUAGCUCGAUGGUGAUCUUCAGACUGUUGACAAGGGCCUCGUACUCCGUGACGUUGUUGGACGCAGCAAAGUGCAUUCUGAUGACGUACCUCAUAUGAAUGCCAAGGGGCGAGACGAAUAACAGACCGGCCCCAGCUCCUGUCUUCAUGAGAGACCCGUCGAAGUACAUCGUCCAUAGUUCUGCUUGAACUUGAGCUGGGGGAGUUGGGAGUCCGUCCAUUCCGUGACGAAAUCCACUAGAGCUUGAGACUUGAUGGCCUUGCGGGGUGCAUAAGUGAGGGUCUCACUCAUGAGCUCGACCAACCAUUUGGCGAUUCUUCCCGUGGCCUCCCGACUUUGGAUGAUUUCUCCCAAGGGGAAGGACGAUACUACCGUGAUAGGGUGGCCGAGGAAGUAAUGUUGCAGCUUGCGUCGGGCAAGGAUCACAGCGUAGAUUAGCUUCUGGAUCUGCAGAUACCGUGCCUUGGUCUCUAAGAGUACCUCGCUGACAAAAUAAACCGGCCUCUAGACUGGCAGCGCAUGCCCCUCUUCCUGCCUCUCGACCACCACUGCCGCACUGAUGGCCUGGGUCGUCGAGGCAACAUACAGAAGCAGAGUGUUGAUGCAAAAACUAGUCUGCAAACACAAAGGGCUAAUACCCGAUUCAAACGUUAAGGCGUGCCAGCCGAUUUGACCUUACUAUCGGCAAAGGUGAUAACUCGAAUACUUUAGUCCUGACAACAGCGAUGCGCCCGGAUGUCACGGCUAAGAGGUACUCACGCGGAACUUGAGGAUACGCCGAGCUUGAGUCGACGAAUUCCUAAGAACUCGUAACAAAAGGAAAACGUAUGACGAAGUCGUCGAAAAGUAAAUGCUGGAAUAUGAGUAAAAACGUGUGUUUGAUUGAUUGAUAGAUGUCUUGAUUACAAGGUCCUAGGGCUUAUAUUUAUACCCUGCUCAAAGAGCUACGACCAGACACGAUUAGAAUUCGAAUUCCAAAUUACACGGAACCCGUAUACAAAAUGAUAUGAAUAACUAAGGAAAUAAUAAAACCAUCCUUCGUGACAAACCGAAACUCCCCCACAUGACAACUGGCAGCUUCCGGACUCCUCCUUCGCGUCAUCGGCAAUCUCCUCGCCAUAGUCAUCGGCAGACCUUUCUACUUGGUCAUCGGCACCAUAUUACUGCCUGAGGACUUAGUCACAUUCAACCUUUCCCUCAUCGGCAACCAUCCUUAUCAGCAACCCGCAUCGUACUGCCACCCUAUCCUGCCAUCCUGGACACGUGCCCAAAAACGGUGUCAACACAUGCCCCCCAGUUUCGGAGUAUAAAACUAUUAAUGCUCCGAAAUUCUCUGCAGCAAUGAUGUCUUCUCCGCAAUUAAUGCUCCUAAUCUGGCAACCGACAACCUCAAUCUGGACAACUCUGAUCCUAAUCCUCCGCAGAUCCCUCAAAAUCCCCAACUUCCUAAACGGGCAUCUCUCUUAGUCGUACAUCGGCAACAAUACCGUUAUAAAGAUCUGCCGAUGCUCUGCCCAGGAGAUUCGCAAAAACGGUUACCUCCCCUCUAUCCGCCCAUCGGCAGGACGACCGUUAUAGAAUAUCACCGAUGGACCGACUAGGAGAUCGCGCACAGUAAAAUAUCUUUAGAUAAUGACCGCUUCCUGUCAAAUCACCUGCACAAUCCCUGGAUUAUCGUGCGAACAGUUACCAUAUCCACUUGAGUACCCUCGGGCUUCUCGGACGCGGCAAAGAAAUAAGUCAGAUUUGCCCUUGUCCAUCUUGUCCUAUAAAUAGCUCCUUCUUGGGUACUCCUCCCCCAUUGCAUCAUUCUGCCAUCCAACUUCACUUUUCCAGCGGCGGCGCCAUUCUCAAUCCUCAAGAUCUCCGACAAGCAUUCUUCCUCAUCAACUCUGGCGCCCUCCAGCGUCCUCUUUACGACAAGAUGGCCGUUGGCUUCGUCGUCCCUGAGGUCAGACUUCCAUCUCAUCUGCUGUACCUUUUUCUUGCAUUCCUGUUCAUCUGCGAUUCAUUCUUACUGAAUAUCUUCCUUUUCCUUUUUCUUUGUAUUUUUAUUCCCCAAAACACUAGGAAUUAUCCAACAAAAUUGUCAUCCCUACCGAUCAACCACAUCUUCAAUGCCUCGGCCCUCUAGGGGAUCCAGAUCCAACCGACCUUAUCAAUGCAGAAACCAACAGGAUUCCCUUUAGAGCUGAAAACAUUGCUUUAGAUCUAUGGAAAGACACCUUCCGCUCUUGGCCCAGCCCUACUGCAGGGUGGAAAGACUGGUUCUUGAGGGUCAGCAACUCUUAUGAAGUUCAAUGGGGUGAGAGGAAAUUAGCUCAAUGCAUUAGGCUGUCCAUUGCCGAUAUGCACAGGAACGAGUCAUUGCUGAUAGCUGCAUCUUACUUUUGGUCAGACACUCUCAACGCUUUUGUUUUCGGCCACGGCCCUGCUUCUCCUACCCUUGCCGAUGUAGCCAUGCUUACUGGGUUAGAUAUAUCUUCUGCCGAUAGCACCCAUUUUUUUGAUACCGCCCCCAGUGCCAAAGUGGAGACUCGCGCUAUCGGCGGUUGGUCAGGGUACAUUCAGAAGUACCGCGGGAGAGGGCCUGUCACCAUAAAGGAGCAAACCACCUUUCUGAACAUGUGGCUAGACAAGUUUGUAUUCUGUGGUCGAUCGGCAGGACCGACUUCUGUCUAUCUAUCGGCAGCAGAAAGACUGGCUAGCGGCGGCCAAUUUCCUCUCGGCCGUUAUUUGCUCGGCGCUGUUUAUCACCUUCUUCAUCAGGUAGUCCAGAAACUCCUGCUCGGCCAACCUAUCGGCAACUUGGGAGGUCCUUGGUGGUUUAUUAAUAUGUGGCUCAAUCUGCACCUGCACAAGCGCCUUGAUCUCAACUUGUUCUCACAGCACUUCCCAAGAGAUAUAGCCGAGAAUCAUGUGUUGGGUGAAGAAGAAUCGGCAACACGUGCCCCCCUGAACUUUGGCGAAGCUGUUAUAGUCUUACCCGGUUCAGGGAACACUCCGGAUCAGAUCGGCCGAUUCUUCGAGACGCUGUAUGAGGGUCUGGCCAGAGAUGAACGGCCAUGGCUGGCUUAUGACGACCCAGACAGCAUGCUCCCUCUGACCUUCAAUCCAUUUGAUGAAGCUCUUGACAGGGACAAUGAGGUGAUGAUGGCAAUCGUGACCCCCAGAGCCAUACCAGUGAAUUUCUUCGGUAGCACGAAAACCUCUCCCCAAACCUAUGAAUUUUAUAAUCCAUCGGCAUUAGCUCGCCAGCUAGCUUUCGGCUAAUUGCCGAUUGCACUUCCUUAUGUUGAUGUAAUAAAGCCCAGAGAGCCCAUCGCCAACCUCCUCGAGUGGACUCGAGUAGCCCAGCUACCACCAAAUGCCGAUACGGAUGUAGAUCUGUCAGAAUGGGUUCCAGCCGCCUUUAUCACUCAGGCAUACAAGCUAUGGUGGGCAGAAUGGAAAGAGAAUCUGUUCUGCAGAUCAGCCCUCUCAUACCGCGGCAUGAUCGACCCCGAAUACAAAGUCCCUGAUGACACUGUAAGUAUUUUAAACCGAUGUCUCAUUUUCCAAUAUCACUCCCAUCGGUAACUUACCCCUGUAUUCCUUUUGCAGAUUGACAACACCCCCCCAUCAGUUAGUAGGAGUGGCAAGCCGAUCGACUUAUUCCCUUCAGGCCCGAUCUCCUCAAUCGGCCAUAAUGCUCCCACUCUGGCUUCCAUCGUGCACCGGGGUGCGCGCCUCAAGAAAGUUACCACCAGGAAAACUCAGACAUCACCACCGGUAACUGCUUCCACUCUGGCACAAGCUUUCAAGGCAAUCUGUUAAAACCCGUUUUCCAUUUACGCUGACUUAUCUUUGUAUCGGCUAUCUGUACUCAUAAACUCCUUUUUGUUGUUGCAGCAAACUGGUGCAUCGGCAAAAGUCAAACGCCAAGGCGCCGAUGCCCCCCAGUCUAGCCAGCCAAAGAGGAAAGGCAUCCACGGUGCUAAGGCUGGAACAAAGCGCCAGAAAGUGGCAACUCCUCCUCCUCCUCCGGUGUUUCCAAUCCCGGUGGAAUCUUCCCCUUCUUCUCCAGACGUCCAGGCACAGCAAGUACUAUCUCCACAACCAACACAGGAAGCACCACAGAUGGAAGAACCUCAAACGGCAGGUAUAUCAGCUGAUGUAGGUGAACAAACAACUGGCCCGGCAGGUAUAGUUACAUCAUCGGCGGUUUCCUCGAUUCAGGCAACUGUUGUUUCUCCUCCGGGUAACAUAUCUCAACCAUACUCCUACCGAUAAACUUAUUCUCAUUUAUUCUUAUAAUCUUUCCUGUCUUCUUUCAGGCGAUAUCGCUCUAUCGGCAACAUUUGCCGAUCAACCUGCAGCUCCAUCGGCCUCUCUGAGUCAAAGGCAAGAAAUCGCCUUGAAGCAAGUAAGUCAUCCACUUUUCCAUCAGUAUCGUCUGCCGAAGUUUUGACCAUAAAAUUGACCUACUUCAUUUUUAUUUUCAGGAGCAAGAUUCUCCCAACAGCUUGUUCUCCUUCGCUAUCGAUAUCUUCGAAGAAGAAGGCGAGGAAGCAAGCUCCUCUCGGGCAGUUGGAAUUGUAUCGGCAGAAGCCAGAGCUAAGCUGGAGGAGCUAUCGGCCAUACUCCAUCAAGACACAACUCAACUGGUCAACGAUUCUGACCCAGCCAAGGCCCUGUUCAAGACCCUCAGAGGCCAAAUUCCUGCCGAUGCUGAAGAAACACUCUUCCAUGCUGCACAUCUAGAAAGCCGCCAGCUACAGUACCAGAGAGCUACUCGACGCCUUGCCGAUAGAGCUGCUCAAAUCCAGCUUUCUGAGGAGAUGAUGAAAUAAAAACUCUUAGCCGAUGAGAAACAUAAGAACAUCGGCACCCUUAAGUCCUCAGGUGAUGCACUGAAGCAGAAAGUGUCUGAUCUAUCGGCAAAAAGAGAAGCUCUACUGGCUGAACUCAAGCAAGUAGAAGAUGCUCUGUCCCAAGCCCAGCAAGAAGAGAGUCAACUGCCGGAGACCAUCAAGCAUCUUGAACAAGAACGAAACGUCCAUGGUCGCAAAGCGCUGCAACUGAAGAGGAAACUGAAGCCGAUCGAAGGUUCUGCCGAUGAUGAUAUCAAAGAGAUAGAGACAGCCAACCAGAUUCGGCUGCGCGCCAUAUCAGCAAUCCAAGCGCUGCUGAGCCUCUGAAGCUUUCAUCGGCGACACACCUUUGUUUUUCUGCCUUCAGCUUUUAGUCUAGCCGAUAAGACUGUUAUCGGCAUCUUUUGAAACAUUAAAUCUGCCCUCGAACAUUUAAAUCCAGCCGAUAGGAGUGUUAUCGGCACUUAAACUUUUAUGCGUCGAUCCAUAUGCUGGGGUAGUACUUCUUCAAAUAUUUGCCAUUUAAUGCUCUGGGAAAUUCAACUCCUUCGAGAGUUUCUAGAAUAUAGGCAUUACCAGGAGCUGAGUGUCUUAUCCGAUAAGGACCUUCCCAAUUAGGAGACCACUUCCCAAACUUCGAACUUUUAGUCCCGACUGGCAAAAUCAACUUUCAUACCAAAUCCCCAUCGGCAAACUCCUUAGUCUUUACUUUUUUAUCAUACCAUCUAGCAACUCUCUUCUUAUUUUCUUCUAUACUCAUUAAGGCCUUUAACCGAUGUCCUGCUAAAUCAUCUAACUCAUCGGUCAUCAAAGUGGCAUAAUCAUCGGCAGCCAAUUGAUCUUGAAAAGAUAAUCGCCUAGAUCCAGCCUUAAUCUCCCAAGGCAAUACUGCAUCAUGUCCAUACACCAAUUGAUAGGGUGAUACCUUGGUUGAUCCAUGGCAAGCCAUCCGAUAAGACCACAGUGCUUCAUUUAACACUGUAUGCCACCGCCUAGGGUUUUCUUCAAUCUUUCGUUUAAUAAGCUUGAUAAUUCCUUUGUUAGACGCUUCGGCCUGCCCGUUGGCUUGAGCAUAGUAAGGAGAGGAAUUCAACACUUUAAUUCCCAUACCGAUUGCGAAUUCAUCGAACUCCCCUGACGUGAACAUGGUGCCCUGAUCGGUAGUAAUCGUUUGGGGAAUCCCAAAUCGGUAAAUAAUAUGCUCCUUCACAAAAUCAAUCAUAUUGGCCGAUGUGACUUUCUUCAAGGGAAUAGCUUCGACCCACUUAGUGAAAUAGUCAGUGGCAACUAGAAUGAACUUAUGCCCUUUGCUAGAUGGUGGAUAAAUCUGGCCGAUUAGAUCGAUGGCCCACCCCCGGAACGGCCAAGGUUUUAUUAUAGGAUUCAUAGCCGAUGCGGGUGCUCUCUGGAUAUUACCGAACCUUUGACAACCUUGACAUCCCUUGAAAUAUGUAAAACAAUCUUCAAGUAUGGUUGGCCAAAAAUAUCCAUUCCUUCGAAUCAUCCACUUCAUCUUGAAAGCUGACUGAUGCGCUCCACACACUCCUUCAUGGAUUUCCCCCAUUAAACUUCUGGCUUCAUCAUCACCCAAGCAUCGGAGAAGAAUUCCGUCGAUAGUUCGAUAAUACAAUUCAUUUUCAAGGAGCACAUACUUGGUCGCUUGAAAUCGAACCCGUCUUCCAACUUUCUUAGAUGGAUCUUCUAGAUAGUCGACAAUCUCUUUCCUCCAGUCACCGGCACUGACUGCCGAUGUUGCAUUAAUCAUUGGCUGAUAUCCUGAGGCAUGCUGGGCUAACCGAUUAGCGUCCUCAUUAUGCAAUCGGGGAACAUGCUCCAAUCGGAAGUUCUUGAAUUCCUUUAACAGUUGCAUACUUUUCUCGAAAUAGGUUAUGAGAACUUCACUCCGGCAUUCAUAGCUUCCGGCCAAUUGAUUUAUAACCAACAUGGAAUCCCCGAAUACCUCAACAGCAUCAGCACGAACUUCUCUUAGCAACUCCAAUCCCUUGAUCAGAGCUUGAUACUCAGCCUGAUUAUUUGUUGAUGUAGCAACAAUCGGUAAGGAAAAUUCAUACCUCCUCCCCUUAGGAGAAACUAACACAAUGCCGAUUCCUGCUCCCCGGUCACAGGUAGAUCCAUCAAAGAAGAGCGUCCAGGGUGCAAUUUCCAAGGUUUCCACUAGGCCGCAAUGUUGAGUCACAAAAUCGGCCAUAACCUGCCCUUUGACCGCCUUAGCCGAUUCGUAACGCAAAUCGAAUUCCGACAGCGCUAAAAUCCAUUUACCGAUCCUUCCACUCAUAAUUGGCAUAGAUAGCAUGUAUCGGACUACGUCAUCUUUGCAAACAACAGCACAUUCGGCCGACAAUAGGUAAUGUCUUAGCUUGAUACAUGAAAAAUAUAAGCAUAAGCACAGCUUCUCGAUGGCCGAAUACCUGGUUUCAGCAUCAAUCAACCUCCUACUCAAAUAAUAAAUCACUCUCUCUUUCCCUUCAAAUUCCUGAACCAAAGCUGAGCCGAUAACCGAUCCAUCGGUAGAUAAAUAUAAUUUGAAGGGUUUCCCUUGUUGAGGUGGAACUAAAACUGGAGGAUUUACUAGAUACUUUUUGAUUUCAUCUAGAGCCAACUGCUGUUCUUCUCCCCAAACAAACUCCUGAUCGGCUCUCAAUUUUAGAAGAGGACUGAAAGCACGAAUUCUCCCAGAUAAAUUCGAUAUAAAUCUUCUGAUAAAAUUCACUUUGCCGAUCAAAGAUUGGAGCUCGGUUUUAUUGGUAGGGGCCACUAUUUUAUUGAUGGCAUCAAUAGAUCUUCGACUAAUUUCAAUACCUCUCUAAUGUACCAUGAAACCAAGAAACUGCCCUGCCGAUACACCAAAUGCACACUUGUUGGGAUUCAUCUUCAAUCCAUGCUUCCUUGUGCACUCCAACACUCUUCGUAAAUCGGCAAGAUGCUUUGAGAAAUCUCCAGACUUAACCACCACAUCAUCAAUAUAAAUUUCUACGAUCUUGCCGAUGAACUCAUGAAAUAUAAAAUUCAUAGCCCUUUGAUAAGUAGCACCAGCAUUCCUUAACCCAAAAGUCAUGACUAUCCAUUCAAAUAGUCCAACAUGACCAGGACACCUGAAUGCGGUUUUUGGAAUAUCCUCUUCUGCCAUGAAUAUUUGAUUGUAACCCGCAUUACCAUCCAUGAAGCUGAUGACCCGAUGGCCAGCCGCAGCAUCAACCAGUAGAUCGGCGACAGGCAUUGGGUAUCCAUCCAUCGGCGUAGCUUUAUUGAGAUUCCUGAAAUCAAUGCACACCCGAAGCUUCCCGUUCUUCUUGUAAACCGGGACGACAUUGGAAAUCCAUUCGGCAUACCGACACUGCCGAAUAAACUUAGCUUCAAUAAGUUUAGUGAUUUCGGCCUUAAUAUCAGGUAGAAUGUUAGGAUUACAUCGGCGGGCUGGUUGCUGAUGUGGCCGAAAUCCAGACUUGAUGGGUAACCGAUGUUCAACAAUUGAUCGGUCUAAACCAGGCAUCUCUGUAUAAUCCCAAGCAAAGCAAUCUUUAUAUUCCUUUAACAAACUAGUUAAUUGCCGUUUACACUCAGGAUUUAGUUUAGCACUAAUAAAAGUAGGCCUAGGCUUAUCACCACUACCUAUAUCUACUUCUGCCAAAUCAUCGGCCGAUGUGAAUCCCUGGCCUAAUUUUCCAUCAUCGGCGAAUCUAUCCAUUAAAAACCGUCGUCAGAACCGACUGCUUGGAUCGGUGGAAUCUCAUAAUCGGCAACUUUAAGAAAAUCUUUCUCCCAAACUUCUCCUGAAAUGCACCUAGUCUUUUCAUAAGUAUCCGCUUCUGCUGAUGCGAUAACAUAAGAAGAAUCCCCUGGGACGAUCUCAAUCUUGUCACCUACCCACUGAACCAAGCACUGAUGCAUUGUAGAUGGGACACAACAAUUGGCAUGAAUCCAAUCUCUCCCCAAUAAUAAAUUGUAGGCACCUUUUCCGUUGAUCACGAAAAAGGUUGUCGGCAAGGUUUUGCUGCCGAUGGUCAACUCUGCACAUAUCGCCCCCUUGACCGGAGACACGUUUCCCUCAAAGUCCUUGAGCAUCAUAUCGGUCUUGGUCAAAUCUUGAUCCCCUUUCCCAAGCUUCCGAUAUACUGCAUACGGCAUAAUAUUAAUAGCAGCUCCACCAUCAACUAGGAUCUUAGUCAUUGGCUGCCCAUCAACCCUUCCUUUGAGGAACAAAGCUUUAAGAUGCUGCCUCUCGUUAUCGGCAGGUUUCUCAAAGAUAGCCGUCAUCGGAUCCAGAGCCAACUGAGCUAUCUGAUCAGAAAAUCCCAACUCAUCGUCACUGGCUGGUGCAAGAAACUCCAUCGGCAACAUGAAUACCAUGUUGACGCCUGCCGAUGGACCUUCCUUCUUAGUGUCUGCCGGCUGCCGACUUUCAGAACUCUCUCCUUUAUUUAACUCCUCUUGCCUUUCUCGUUGCAACCUCCUUUUCUGUGUCUUGGUUAAUCCUUGAGGGCACCAUGGAGGAAGUGGCCUUUGCCUUACUGCCGGGCGUCGGUUCUCCCUUGACUCCAUACGAUGUGUGUUAGCAUCUCUGCAAAAUAUGAACUCAUCGGGAACCCGCGCAUUAGCCAUUUCCUCAAGCUCUUCCUGGUUCCUGGGAAAAUACUGGACACGGUCACCGAGCCGAUCGUGAACACUAAGCCUGCCCCCCAGCCGAUCAUGAACUGACGCCCUUCCUCUGAUUGGCCCAUUAAAUCGCCGUUCAUCAUCAUGAUAACGCCGAUCAUUCCUAUCGUACCGAUCAUAACCGUUGCAUUCAGGGCAGUCUCUGACAGUAGGAAGCUUGAUAUUUUCCUCCCAACAAUGGAUGAAGAAUGGGCAAUUCCAAUGAUCCCUGUGCCGAUUCCACUCCUGUCGGCGUCUUUCUUCUUCCCGUUGAUAAUCUUCCUGCUGGCGCCGAUAUCGAUCUUCCCGUUGUUGCCAUCUCUCUCGAGGCCUUCUAUGAGUUAUGACAAUACCAGACCGAGGAAGUCUUCCUGAGCUAGUUCCUUCCUGGACCAAGCCCUUACUUCUUGCAUCGGUGGUAGUAACUUGAUGCUGAGGAUCUACCGAUGCACUCUUCUCAGCUGUCUCCGACGUUAAGACCUUAGCCUUCCCCUUAGCGUCCAACAUGUUUGUCGGGAAAGGAUGUUGGUCUAUUUUCAUCGGCUUCUGGGCUUUAGAACUGUCAAACUUGAUUCUCCCCGACUCUAUAGCCGAUUGCAGCUGUUGUCUGAAUACUUUGCACUCGUUGGUGUCAUGUGAAGUUGCAUUAUGCCACUUGCAAUAUCUCAUCCUCUUCGACUCUUCUGCCGAUGGGAUCACAUGGUUAGGUGACAGUUUGAUUUGACCUUCCUGAAGUAGAAAGUCAAAUAUCCUAUCGGCCUUGGCGGUGUCAAAGGCAAACUUCUCUGGUUCUUUCUGCCCAAACGGACAAGACAUCGGCUUCUUGUUUUUUACCCACUCUGCCAAACCGAUUACUGGUUCCUCGUCGGAAUCUGAGCUUGUUGCUUCGUCAACAAAUGACACUUUCUUAUUCCAUGCCCUCUUAGGCUCGAAAGGCUUGAUGUCUUGAUCAGAUAUCCUCUGCACCAAAUGACUUAAACUCUCGAACUCUUGAGAUGCAUACUUAUCCCUGAUAUGUGGCAACAAACCUUGGAAAGCCAAAUCGGCUAGCUGCCGAUCAUCCAGAACCAGGCUAUAGCAUUUGUUCUUGACCUCCCGUAUCCUCUGCACAAAUCCCUCAACCGACUCAUCAUUACGUUGCCUCAACUUAACCAAGUUGGUGAUCUUCUUCUCAUGAACCCCCGAGAAGAAGUAUCUGUGGAAUUGCUUCUCUAGAUCGGCCCAAGUAAUUACUGAGUUGGGAGGUAACGAUAUGAACCAAGUAAAGGCCGAUCCAGACAGUGAUGACGAAAAUAGACGAACCCUUAAUUCGUCCCUGUUACCAGCCUCUCCACAUUGAAUAAUGAACCUGUUGACAUGCUCCAUGGUUGACGUGUCGUCUUGUCCGGAAAAUUUGGUAAAAUCUGGUACCUUGUACCGAUGUGGAAGCGGGAUCAAAUCAUACGCUGGAGGAUACGGUGUCCGAUAAGAAUAAGUGUUGACUUUGGGUUUUAUCCCAAAUUGUUCCCUCAUUACUUCAGCAAUCUUAUCGGCCCAAUAAGCAUCGGCAUCUUGCCGAUGAGGCGGCUGCGGAUCCAGCACUUGGUGGCGAACCUCCACGUGUCUGUUUGGGACGUGACCUGUAUGGAACAUCGUAUUGGUCACCUGUCCUCCAAUCUGCGGGCUACCAAACUGCUGUCCACCGAUUGGCUGUCCAAAAUUUAUUGGCUGGUUGGGAAUUCCCUGACCUUGGAACCCGGGAUAAACCUGCCCUUGCUGGAACCCCGUAGUCUGAUAACCCUGCUGGGGCGACUGUGGAAAGGCUUGCUGUCCAAGCCAUCCAUUACUAGCAUUCAUCGGCAUAGGUGCUGCCGAUGAUUGGUAAUUGGGUAUCGUCGUUGAAUUGACAUACCCCGACUGGGCCAUAGGCCUCUGUUGCAUCAGCAUUGACUCUGCCGAUGCGUUGGGCAUCUGGAACGUUGAAUCUUGAGGAUUUCCAGUGUGAGGCCUUGCAGUAGUAGUUGUGGUAUACCGAGGACUCUGGUUCACCGGCACAUUGGAAGGUGCCGAUGUCAUAGGAGUUUUGCCCCUCAUGUCAGUUAUCUGUGAUGUUCCCGGCGUCAACUCUGGAGGCAUACCAUAACCCCACCAGUUGGGAGGAAGAGUUAACCCCGACAUUGCCGAUGCCAACAUAUCUGUUGUCAGUUUAUGCUGCCCAACUGAAAUUUGUGGGUUGGUUGCCAUCGGCAUAGAUAGUGCACCAGUAGUCCCCAAUGUACUUGGAGGGACGGCAGAUUGUGCACUUGCACUCGUCAAGGCAGCCGAUGGAGCCGUGACCUCUGGUGCCGUGGGUUGAUGAUAGGAAGGGCCCACAUAAUCCGGCGGGAUUUGUCCUUCCUUGAAGGUUCUUGCCACGGCGUUGAAAACCGUAUUAGACAGUACACCAGCUUGGUUAAUCAGCGCUCGAUUGAUGGCACUGUCAACCAUGUCUUGAAGCUUGCCAGGAUUGGCGUCAAAGGUGACCUGCCGUGGUGCCGGCAGUGCAUCUUUCUGGACCACUUCGCCGCUCCUGUUUAUGCUGAAAGACUUCAGGCAUUGCUGCUUGAACUCUUCCAUGGCUUGGGCAAUAGCUUGCUUCUGCUCAUCCUUGAGGUUGGCUUCCGUCACGGGGAUAACGUUGUCUUGAUCGAGGUCAGAGAUUGACAUGUUGAUCUUGAUCUUGAAUCUGUCCCACUGGGCGUGCCAAAAGAUGUGUUGAUGCAAAAACUAGUCUGCAAACACAAAGGGCUAAUACCCGAUUCAAACGUUAAGGCGUGCCAGCCGAUUUGACCUUACUAUCGGCAAAGGUGAUAACUCGAAUACUUUAGUCCUGACAACAGCGAUGCGCCCGGAUGUCACGGCUAAGAGGUACUCACGCGGAACUUGAGGAUACGCCGAGCUUGAGUCGACGAAUUCCUAAGAACUCGUAACAAAAGGAAAACGUAUGACGAAGUCGUCGAAAAGUAAAUGCUGGAAUAUGAGUAAAAACGUGUGUUUGAUUGAUUGAUAGAUGUCUUGAUUACAAGGUCCUAGGGCUUAUAUUUAUACCCUGCUCAAAGAGCUACGACCAGACACGAUUAGAAUUCGAAUUCCAAAUUACACGGAACCCGUAUACAAAACGAUAUGAAUAACUAAGGAAAUAAUAAAACCAUCCUUUGUGACAAACCGAAACUCCCCCACAUGACAACUGGCAGCUUCCGGACUCCUCCUUCGCGUCAUCGGCAAUCUCCUCACCAUAGUCAUCGGCAGACCUUUCUACUUGGUCAUCGGCACCAUAUUACUGCCUGAGGACUUAGUCACAUUCAACCUUUCCCUCAUCGGCAACCAUCCUUAUCAGCAACCCGCAUCGUACUGCCACCCUAUCCUGCCAUCCUGGACACGUGCCCAAAAACGGUGUCAACACAGAGGCUCUGCGGGUUGGGGUGGGACCAAGACCGGGGCAGAGGUCAGUGUUUUCUUCAAGUUGUCGAGGGCUUCCUCGGCUUCGGGGGUCCAAGAGAAACGCUCGACUUUUUUCAAAAGCCGAUACAGAGGCAAUGCCAUUUCUCCCAACCUCGAGAUAAAACGACUUAGCACCGCCAAACAUCCCGUGACUUUCUGCACUCCCUUGAUGUCUCGGAUCGACCCCAUUCUCGUGAUGGCCGAGACUUUCUCGGGAUUGGCCUCGAUGCCGCGUUGGGAGACUAUGUAUCCCAUGAGCAUGCCUCGAGGUACACCAAAGACGCAUUUCUCGGGGUUGAGCUUGAUCUUGUUAGCGCGUAAGCAACCAAAAGCGAUCUCGAGGUCCUAAAUCAGGUCUCCUCGUUUCUUCGACUUGACGAUGAUGUCGUCAACGUAUGCCUUGACCGUCAACCCUAUAUGUUUACCAAACAUGUGGAGCAUGCAUCGCUGGUAUGUUGCUCCCGUGUUUCGAAGCCCGAAUGGCAUGGUUACAUAACAGUACAUCCCAAAAGGCGUGAUGAAAGAUGUUGCGAGCUGGUCGGAUUCUUUCAUUUUUAUUUGAUGGUAACCAGAGUACGCAUCAAGGAAAGAAAGGGUUUCACAUCCCACAGUAGAAUCAACAAUUUGAUCGAUACGUGGCAAUAGAAAAGGAACUUUCGGACAUGCUUUAUUUAAACUUGUAUAAUCAACACACAUCCUCAUUUUCCCAUUCUUUUUCUUAACUAGUACAGGGUUUGCUAACCAGUCGGGAUGGUGAACCUCCUUGAUGAAUCCGACCGCCAAAAGCUUGUGGAUCUCCUCACCAAUGAGCUUGCGUUUCUCCUCAUCGAAGCGACGCAACCGUUGUUUCACUGGCUUGGAACCGGCUCGAAUUUCCAAGGAGUGCUCGGCGACUUCCCUCGGUAUGCCUGGCAUGUCCGAGGGACUCCAUGCAAACAUAUCGGCGUUUGCACGGAGAAAGUCGACGAGCACGGCUUCCUAUUUGGGGUCGAGGUCGAUGCUGAUCGUCAGCACCUUGCCGUCGGAGUUGCUAGGGUCGAGCGGGAUCUUCUUCGUUCUUUCUGCCGGUUCAAAGCUGCCCGCGUGGCGCUUAGGCUCUAGAGCUUCUGCGGCCAGGGCUUCGAGCUUCGAGGUGAGCUCGGUGGAGCUCUCGACAGCUUCCCCGUACUCGACGCACUCGACAUCGCACUCGUACGCAUGCUCGUAGGAGGAGCUAACGGUGAUGAUCCCCUUGGUUUCGGGCAUCUUCACCUUUAGGUAGGUAUAGUUGGGGAUAGCCAUGAACUUGCGUAGCCAGGGCACCCGAUGAUGGUGUGGUACGUGCCUUGAAAUCCCACCACCUCAAAGGUGAGAGUCUCCUUUCUGAAAUUGGCUACUGUGCCAAAGCAGACCGGCAGGUCGAUUCGACCUACCGGCAGCGCCUUCUUUCCUGGUACGACACCAUGGAAUCCACCGGCGCUCGGUUGGAGCUGCGCCCUGUUGAUGCCGAGAAGGUCGAGGGUCUCGAGGUAGAUGAUGUUUAGGCUGCUACCGCCAUCCAUCAGUACCUUUGAAAGCCUGGCGUUGACGAUGAUGGGGUCGACGACGAGCAGGUAGACGCCAGGGGCGACUACCUUGUCGGGGUGGUCGUCUCGGUUGAAAGUGAUGGGGGUGUUUGACCAGUUGAGGUACUGAGGCACCGCCAUCCUUGCCGCAAAGACCUCGCGGCGUUCCCUCUUGCGCUGCCGUGCGGUUAGCUGCGUCGAGGGUCCGCCGUAGAUCAUGUAGCAGUCGUGGACAGUUGGGAACCCUUCGUCGUCUUUGUCGUCCCCCUUGUCGCUGCCCUUCUCUUUCUUUUGGUCGUCCUUUUUGAAUCCCAGGCUGUCGAAAUGUCUCUUCAACAUACGGCAGUCCUCGAGCUUGUGGUUUGCCCCUCCCUUAUGGUAAGGGCAGGGCUCCUUCAGCAUCUUGUCGAAGAUUGGUCCCUCAGGGGGGCCUCGAGGUCUUUUACGGUCCAUGGCGGCGACGAGGUCGUCGUCGUCGAGGGCCUCUCGCUGGAACGGCCAUGACUUCUUCUUCUUCUUGUUCUUCUUGGGUCCCCGAUUGGGACCCUCAUCGUCAUCAGCUGAAGAAGGCGCCAACCGCUUCUUCCCUUGCAGCGUAGUUUGCCACUACGUCCAUCAGCUCGUCGACGGUCUGAGGACGAUUUCGGCCUAACUCCCGCACCAGAUCUCGACUGGUGGUGCCUGAGACAAAGGCCAGGAUGACGUCGUGGUCCGGGAUGUGCGGCAGCUCGGUGCGCUGCUUUGAGAAGCGUCGAGCAUACUCUCGAAGAGUUUCUCCUGACUUCUGCUUGCACUUGCAGAGAUCCCACGAGUUGCCGGGUCGUAUGUAGGUCCCUUUGAAGUUGCCCUCGAACACUCUAACCAAAUCGACCCAAUCGUGGAUUUGAUUGGCCGGGAGUUCCUCGAGCCAUCUGCGGGCGGUUUCGGAGAGAAAGAGUGGCAACUGCCGGAUGAUGGCUCGAUCGUCCCCUCGAGCGCCACCAACUGGCAGGCUAACCGGAAAUCUGCCAACCACAGCUCUGGCUUGGUCUCGCCGUUGUAUUUAGCGAUGCUGUUUGGGGUCUAAACGGGCUGGGCAGCGGCGUGCUGUGGAUUGCUCUACUGAACACCCGAGGGCCCGGUGGUUCCGGAGCCAUCCGGUCUUCGUCGCUGUCGUAUCUCCCGCCGCGGUGGGCGCUGUAACCGCGCUCUUCUGCGUCCCCAUAUCAACGGCGACGAUUUUCGUUGAUGUCGCGUCGUGCGUCGUGUUGUCGCUGAUUGUCGACGGGGUGGUUGAGGACGAGUGCUGUCUUCUUCCCUCGAGGGGGCUACUGCUGAUGGACCGAUACCUCUUUUUUGUUCUGGGCCGGCUCAUCACGCUUUUUCGUGGCUGCUCCUCGACGUUGAGAGGCCGAGCUUUCGGCCUGCUGGACUGCCGCUACUUGGAGCAGAGUCUGCACCUCGUCUCGAAUGCGUCGCGCUUGAGAGUUCGACGGCUCGGGCAUAUUGCGUAGCAACAUUGUUGCCGCCACGACGUUCUGACCUGCUCGAGGAAAAUGGCUGACGGGUUGUUCGGGCUCCCCGUCUCCAACGAUCUGUCGAUGCACCUCUCGAGCCCAUCUGUGGACACUUCCGCCAGGUGGGCAUGGUUGGUCCUGCUCGAGGAUCUGUUCAAGUAGGACAAGGCGCUCGCGAUCUUCGUCGAGCUUUGCUUUGAGCUCUCGCAGCUGCGCAAGUUGCGUGGUUCUGUCUUCUUGUGGAGGGGGAUCGACCUGACCGUCAUUCCCAGGCAUCCUGGGGUCCUCCCUUGCUGCGGGGGCUCGACCGCCAGCAACGGCGUCUUGAGUCUCGUCGGUGGUUUCCACGCCCCCGUCGAUGUUGAAGCAUUCCCUAGUAGGGUCAUAGCUAUCGGAUUCCGAGUCGGAGUCCGGCUCGGUGGCGUAGAAGCAUCCGCGCCCUUCCUCCAACAGUCGUUGCCUGAGGGAGGUGAUUGUGUAUCGCCCAGGACCUAGGCGGCGGAGGCCUCGUACCUGAGAGAAAUCCGGCAGCUCGGGCGUCUGUUGCUGUGCUCGAGCGUCGCGCGGGAGGACCAUUGGUAUCUCCACGUACGUCUGGGCGUUUGGACAUAUCGUCCUGGCGAGUGACACUGCGCCGUUGUCCAGACCGAACGGCAGCGCUCUUCUUGGGGCGAACAGCCCGUGCGGAAGUAGCGUCGUGGCAGACGAGAGCGCGCAAGGCGCGCCGUCUCCCAUCGUCGUCAUGCGGUCCUCGUGGCGUCGGGCCGUCAUACCCGCGGUUUCGGCGCGUGGGGCUGCCGGCUCCUGCGUCACCUCCCGCCUGGCAUGGACUGGCGAUCGUGACGUGGCAGAGGGGUGAUGGUGGCGCUGACCACGCCUCUUCUUGGGCGGGGAGGCAUGGUGGCGAGGCCGUCUGGGGGCCCUUAAUCGGGCGGGUGCAACGCGAGCUCCUCCCGGUCCUUUGACCGAGAGUAGGAUCAUGUCAUAGCCGAAACCGGUGGACAUGAACUCAAGGCUCCCGAACCAAAUCACCGUGGAGCGCGGAAUCGGCAAAAUGGAGGUGGCCAUCUGGAAAGGAAUGGGAAAUCGGUGAAAAAACACGCAGGACCCCUACCUGGCGCGCCAACUGUCGGUGUUUUCCCCCUGGGGGUCACACCAACGAGUAAAACUUGUGUGCGUGCUCCCUCUUCCAAAUGGUGAUGCAAGAAAAGACACAAAGAUUUAUCCUGGUUCGGGCAAGAGAAGGCCCUACGUCCAGCGGGGGAGGAGAAUUUGUAUUAUCUUGCACCUAAGUGCUUGUACAGGGGUGAAUACAGGCGUGGAAUGAACUGAGGCGGAGUAGGGUCGCUCUACUACAUAUGACUUGUCUUGUGUCGCGUGUCCUGUAUCCGCUCCUGGACCUCCCCUUUUAUAGUCCCAAUGAGAGGUCUAGGGUACAUGUGUAGGCGACAGAGUAGGGGUCGAUAGAGGUAUGGUGCGCUGACCUACUUGAGGCCUCCGUACCGGCGUGGUCUCGAGCCGUCUUGUAUUGGUACUUUGAUGAUGAUUACGCGUGCCCCUGAAUCUUGCUUCUGUGCGCCGUCCUGGAUGGGUUAAUCUGUUGCACGCUUGUACGUUGUGGUUACAGCUACGUCGGAGUGGUUGAGGUGUUGUCAUUCGUCGCCCGACCCUUCCCCUGGAAGGAAACACGCCUACUCGAGGGUCAGGUGCCGUGUAACGCUUCGCUGGCCAGAGCGUUGACCUUGGACGUCUCGAGAGGGGUCUUGACUGGACGUUCCGACCCACUCCCUGCGCCCUGCUACGCUCUGGCUUGUUUGGCGGGGAAGGCUGCAAAAAGAACGACAGGACGGAUGCUUGUUCCCUAUCAUGCUUCCCGUGACUAACGGGUUAGGUGAGAAUGCGCCAGGCGCAUUAAAUGCCCUAGUUCCCGUGCCUGCGUCAGGCGGUCGGCGGCGUCCUUGCGCUCGAGGCCUCCCGACUCGUACGAGCUUGUUUCCGUAUUCGACGGUAGCCGGCUCUCGAGCCCUGGUCGAUUCGCAGGACACUCUUUCCGUGUUCGUGGCUACGGCUGUCGAGGGCCGUGCGUACAACUGGGCGUCGAGUUGGAGGCCUCGACUUUCGUACGGAUGCUCUCGAUAUGCAUAUCAGUUUGGGUACCCCUUACUGAUAUCCUCGACAAAUAAAUUAUACAUCCUAUUGCAACACUAGUAUCUAUUAUUUCAUUAGUAUUUAAUAACUUUUUUGAGAGGUAGUAUUUAAUAACUUGGAUACUUCUUCAUCCAAAAAAGAUCCAAUUAUCAGCUUUUCAGAAAUCAAACGAUUUAAAGUUUGAUCAACGUUAUAUAAAAAUACUAAUAAUUAUAAUACAAAAUAAUUAUCAUUUAAUUUAUUAUGACAUAUAUUUUUAUAGUAAACAAAAUAGAAACAAUAAAAGUUAAUAUUAUUUAUUAUAAACUUUGUUAAAAUUAAAUUAGUUUAACUUGCAUAAAUAUAGUUGCACUCUUUGCAUGGGCCGAGAGAGCAUUCUAACUUCUAACUGCACUUUUGCACAAAAUUAAUAUAUGACUGCACGUUCAAAGUUACACGGGAAGACUCUAGUCCAUCUACUACUACCUAGAAAAUAACUAACGUAAUUAUUUGCGCCCUGCCUCUGCUCCGCCCCACGGUAAAAAAACAUCAGUAAAAAACAUAUACAUCGCCCUCUUAAAAAAACAAACUGUGUCAAGUCCCUGUUUUUUGUUGGCAAGCAAAAUAGAAGAGAAUGAAGGGUUCUAAGUGAAAAAGUGCAAGAGAAAAAGAAAAGAUGGAAGGAUCUAAAUUGGAUUCGAAAAACUCAGAGAUUCAUAAUAUAAAAGUUCAAUCCAAGUUACGCCUCCAACUGGGAAUCGGAUCGGCUGACUUCAGUGCCAGCGAUGGCUGGCUGCAGUCGCCGGAAUCGGUCCGUCCACUCCCAUCCCGACGGCUGCAAGGAGACGGCCUGCUACUAUGGUCCUCGGCUAACGAAGAGACGGUCUGGUUGUGUCUUUUUUUCCAUUCGAUGCAGAGCUGUUUAUUUGGCGCGGCCCCAGGCUUUUUUGUGUUGGAGCCAAGAAUCAUCAGGAACUCUGGAACGUCGCUGCACACCACCGUGGUGACCGCGGCGAGAUCUAGAUUAGGUGAAAACAAGUUCACGUGAGAAGACAAGAUAUUGCGGCGCUGCCAACAUUGCAGCCCCUCGGUCUUUAUUCAUGUUUAUAUAGAACACAGCAGGCCCAACUGAGCCCGUCCCGCGCCAUGCCAUAUCGAGUACGCUACACCGUUUCCUAGCAGUGCACGUCUCAUGCGCUCGGCACACCAUGACGCGGACACGACCGACUCUUCUAAGCUGUGUCAUGAUCAGGCACAACACCAAUCAUGCACAGCCCCUUACCGACUAUUACAUAACUCAACUGAAACGAAAGAUUACAAGACUCUGCAUCAAUUUAGCUAACAAAUCACCCCCUAAACUUGAUGCACAUCGACGACACCUAGAGCACUCCACAGUUCUAUGAACCUGACUCUCCCCAAUGACUUGGUGAAUAUGUCGGCGAGCUGGCCUGCAGUCCCAACAUGAUCAACCUCCACCACGCCACCCUCUAUGCAUUCACGAAGAAAAUGAUACUUAGUAUCUAUAUGCUUACUUCGUUCAUGAUGCACUGGAUUUUUACUGAGAGCAAUCGCGGACAUGUUGUCCAUGAGCCGCUUCACUGUCGCCUCCUUCGUCCCCACCAUAUCUGCAAUUAAUCGGCUUAGCCAAAUGCCUUGGCAUGCUGCUGCUGCUGCAACGUUCUCAGCUUCACAGGAUGAGAGAGCUACAAUCUUCUGUUUCUGAGAUGACCAUGUCACCAGACUCCUGCCAAGGAAAUAUACAACACCCGUUGUACUCUUUCUAUCCUCAACAUCUCCUGCAUAGUCACUAUCACUGUAGCCUAGCAGGAAAGCUUGCUCUUCUCCUCCCUUUCUGUACUUGCAACCAUACCCGACAAUACCUUUCAAAUACCUGAGUAUUCUUUUUACAGCAUCCCAGUGUUCUCUUCCUAGUGCCUCCAUGUACCUACUGACAACUCCGACGGCAUAUGCUAGAUCUGGUCUCGAGUUGACAAUGUACCUCAGGCUACCAAUUAGGCUCCUAUAUGCAGUUGGAUUCACAACAUCUUCACCUUCCUUCUUCUUGCUUAGCUUCAACCUGCACUCCAUUGGGGUAUCACAAGGGCUGCAGUUCUUCAUCCCUGCAUUUUCGAGAAUCUUUAGUGCAUACGCACUCUGACUCAAUGCGAUCUCACCACUUCCUUGCUUCACCUCGAUCCCCAAAUAAUAGCUCAAGAGUCCCAAGUCGCUCAUGCUGAAUUUUUCUUUCAUCUCGGACUUGAACCUUUUGAUAUCUUCAACAUUUGGUCCAGAGAUUAUUAAAUCAUCAACAUACACACCAACUAGAAGAAAUGAAUUUCUGUUGUUCCUUCUGUAAACUGCAUGUCCAACUUGCUUCUCACAAAACCGAGAGCAAUCAAUUCCUUGUCAAGCUUUGAGUUCCAUGCUCGAGGUGCUUGUCGUAAGCCAUAUAGUGCCUUCUUCAAUCUAAGCACCUCGAAACCUGGAGGUUGUUGCACAUAGACUAUUUCAGUCAGAUCACCAUUUAAAAAUGCUGACUUUACAUCCAUAUGAUGGACUUCCCAGCCACCAUGUGCUGCUAGUGCCAACAACACUCUUACUGUCUCUAUUCUGGCAACAGGGGCAUAAACAUCAUCGAAGUCUAUUCCUUGACGCUGAGCAUAAACUUUAACCACCAACCGAGCUUUGUGCUUGACAAUAUUCCCAUCUGGGUCUUUCUUAACCUUGAAAACCCAUUUGAGCCCAAUGGCUUUCUGUUUUGGAGGGAGAUCAGUGACAACCCAUGUCCUGUUGUCAGCAAUUGCCCUCAUCUCCUCUUCCAUAGCCUUCUUCCAGCAACUUUCAGAUAAUGCCUCUUCAAUAGUCUUGGGUUCUUCAGCUGCAACCAAGCAUAUUCCACUAUACUCGAACCCAUGUACCUCAUCAGUUGUGUCCAGGAGAUCUGUCAUAGUCCUAUACCUCAGUGGAGCACCAUCUGAAUCUUUAGAAGCAUUGGUGUGUGGUGUUGACCACUGUAUAAUCUGAUGUGGUGGUGUAUCUAGAGAUGAGUCACCCCCAGUACUUGGAAUUGAUGCUGCAGGCGACGCCGGUUCCACCUCAACAGGUUCUAAAAAUGCGUCGUCAUCUGCAUCUGUCCCUAUUGUCGGACCGGAAAUAGAGUCGUCAAGACUCUGAACCUGAAACGCAUCAGGCACCACCGCUGCCUUGUCAUCACGCAGCCUGCUAGCGUUCCCGUCCCAAUUCCAAGCGGUCUUCUCAUCGAAUAUCACAUCUCGGCUCACCAAUAACUUGCUUGUUGCUGGACUGUAGACACGAAACCCCUUUAUCCCUGAUUCAUAACCCAGGAACACUCCUGGGAUAAAGCGAUCCGACAAUUUACUGAUGCCAGAGCCAACACGCUUUACAUAAGCAGUGCACCCAAAUGUACGUAGAUGCUUGACUACUGGCUUUCUUCCAUACCACAUCUCAUACGGAGUUCUGCCAUCCAAGCAUUUUGUCGGCGUUAACAGAUAUACCGCCACCUGGACCGCCUCUCCCCAAAACUGUGCUGGAACAUGCAUGCUUUUGAGCAAACACCACGCCAUCUCUACCACUGUCUGAUUACGCCUUUCAACUACGCCAUUUUGUUGUGGCGUAUAAGGUGUCGUGGUAUUACGCUUUAUUCCAUGCUCAUGACAAAACGAGCUGAACGCACCAGAGUUGAACUCCCCACCACGAUCUGAUCUAAAUGCCUUCAGCCUGUUUCCUGAUUCGAGCUCAACUGCAGCUCUGAACUUCUUGAAGUACAUCAAGGCUUGAUCCUUAGUUGCCAUCAGAUCGAUCCACAUAUAACGGUUGUGGUCAUCAACAAUGAGGAGGAAGAAGGACUUCCCACCACGUGUUGGUGGUGACACUUGUCCACAUAGGUCAGCGUGCACCAGUUCAAGUCUUGUGGACGCACGAUAUGCUGAAGUCUUGGGAAAUGGAGUUCUAUGUUGUUUUCCCGAUGCACAACCAUCGCAAACUUGCUCGACACGUCGAAUCACCAGCAUCCCCUCCACCAUCACUUUUGCACCAAGAUCGUGCAAAGCUCUGAAAUUCAGAUGUCCGUAUCGCGCGUGCCAAAGCCACGCAACAUCAUCCAUGCUGGACAGAAGACAGACAGGUGUGGUAAGCUUUACCUUCAGUAAAUACAGAUGAUUUCUUCGCUCCGCUUUGAUCAGCACACCCCGCUUCAGCUGCCCAACCUGUCGACGCUCAAAGACUUGCAUGAUGCUGUCAUCAAUCUCAACACGACAUCCCCCUUCUUCGAGCUGACCAAGACUGAUUAUGUUGCACUUGAGGGACGGUAUGUAAUAUACUUCUGAAAGCACCCGAUGAUCAUGCACUCUGCCAGCGAUUGUGACAGCACCAAUCCCACAGAUCUCCACUUUUGAUCCAUCACCAAAACGCACCGCUCCAUGUACUGACUCAUCAAGAUUCGUCAGCGAUUCUCGACUGCCCGUCAUGUGGUAUGUAGCUCCUGUAUCCAACACCCACGAUCCCUCUUCAUAGUUUGAUGGUAUGACUCGUUCCUAGUUCAGGAACACUCGUGGUGUUGUGCUGUCAGUACUUCGCACCAGAUUACAAACCUGUGACACCAUGAGGGCCGGCUGUGGAUCAGCAUCUAUGUUUGCAUGAUGUACAGCCUCGGUUGCUUCCUUUCCUCCCUUCUUGCACUCUCUGGCCCAAUGGCCAUAAACUUUGCAUUUGUUGCAGCGUCCAUUGCGAUGGGGAGUACUCAUCGAUGUAUACUCCUUCUUCCUAGUGUCACGGGAAUCAUGGUUUCCACCACCGCCGUUGCCCCGUCCGACGGGCUUAUUCUUCUUAGGAUAGUGACCGCUGCCACCACCCUUCGACCCCGACGAUCCUGACGAGUCACCGCUGACGCGGUUUUUCUGUUUGGCGCCCCACUCCUCCUCUGUCAGUAAGAGUUGGCCUGCCUUGUUGGUUACUUCCUCAGUAGAGAGCUCAAAGCGAUCUUUGGCCGCACGAAGACGUCCGACUAGCUCCUCCAUCGAUAAUGUCUUCAAGUCACAAAACAUCUCGAUUGUGACUGCUACUUGGUUGUACCGAGCAGGCACAACCCUGAGGAAUUUCUUCACAACUCGGGCAUCAGUAACACUAGUUUCACCAAGUCCCUUCAGAUCAGUUACAAGUUUCCCAAUCCGGACUGCAAAGUCUUCGAUCGAUUCACCAGAUUUGAAUGAAAUCGAUUCAAACUCGGCGAGUAACUUCUGUGCAUUCACCUCCUUGACCCUCUCUGCUCCUAGACGCAUUGACUUGAUUGCCUCCCAUGCCUCCUUUGCUGACUUUUUACUCAGCAACAUUGAGUGCAUCUCAGGGGGCACCCCUCGGAUCAUGGCGCCCAGCGCGAGCCUAUCACGGCGUCGCUCCACCUUAUCCGAUUCAACCGCGUCCCACAAAUACAUGGCUUCAAGAUUACACUGCACAUGAGCUGACCAUUCCUGGUAAUUAGAUCGGGACAACGUUGGCCACACAAGAUUGCCAGAGGCCUGGUUCCAUGCCCUCUCCAUUACCUCUUUGUCCUUCUCACCGCUAGUGGCCAUGACGAUGGCGUUCUCAACAACUUCUUCUUGGUCAAGCGAUCUGAACUUCUCUUCUACCUCUGUCGCCUCUCCCUGCCGCGGUACGCCUCCUUCUCCGUCAAUCCUCGCUCCGAUACCAAUUGUUGGAGCCAAGAAUCAUCAGAAACUCUGGAACGUCGCUGCACACCACCGUGGUGACCGUGGCGAGAUCUAGAUUAGGCGAAAACAAGUUCACGCGAGAAGACAAGAUAUUGCGGCGCUGCCAACAUUGCAGCCCCUCGGUCUUUAUUCAUGUUUAUAUAGAACACAGCAGGCCCAACCGUGCCCGUCCCGCGCCAUGCCAUAUCGAGUACGCUACACCGUUUCCUAGCAGUGCACGUCUCAUGCGCUCGGCACGCCAUGACGCAGACACGACCGACUCUUCUAAGCUGUGUCAUGAUCAGGCACGACACCAAUCAUGCACAGCCCCUUACCGACUAUUACAUAACUCAACUGAAACGAAAGAUUACAAGACUCUGCAUCAAUUUAGCUAACAUUUUGGCGCCAGGUUACGACACUUGCUCGUGUUUUUAGUGGGACCUGCCAGGGGAAGGUACAGGGAGAUUUCUCGUCAUCGCGUCCUGCGUGCUCAAGUGCCGGCCGGCCAUCGUCUUAUUGCUGUGCAUCCUCACGCGUGUGCUCAGGUACCCAGGUGCUCAGAUUCCAGAUUCCAUUUUACUCUGAUUUGGUUUCUUUUGUCCUCCCUAGUGAUUCAUUCUAUUAUUUAGGGUUUGAUUUAAUGGAAGAUCUGCAUCAUUGAGAUGGAAAAUCUGCAUCAAAACUAAAUCUGAAUAUUCAAGAUGGAAGAGAAAAGGUGUGUUACACCAUGACUAUUCCUUUUUAUCCAUGAGAUCUGAUAGUUCUUAAGAUUUGUACUUAGCAUCACAUAUAGUAUCUUCUGUAAUCAUUAAUUUUUAUUUGUAGAGAGUGUUUCAUUCCUGAUGCGUUACCUCAAGUUGACAUCAAUACAUUAUCUCAAUUGUUUCUCCAAACCAUGUCAUUUGCAGGGGGCAAUCACAGAUGAUGUUAUUGCUGAUUUCUAGUAGUAUGGACAUUUGCUUUUGGAGAAGAGCUUUUGGACUGGUGGUGAUGCUUUGCAAAUUGAUGUCCUUUUAGACCAUAUGAGAAUUAUGUAGCUUUUGGUUUUAUGGUUAAAUUGUAAUGUUCGGUCAGGAUAUAUUUUGUGUAGCUUCAUAUGCACUUGAACAUCUAUGUAGACUCUGAACUUAAUCAACAAUGCCUUGUGAUGGCCUCACUGACAUAUAUAUGGCACAGGUAUUCUGGGAACCAACUGAUGGCCAAUAUGCAUAACCCAAUUAUGGGAAUUUUCAUUCAUUAAAUCAGAACCAUAUAUUUAUCCAUUUCGAUUCUGGAAACAUACAGGCUGUAACACCCUAAAAAUUUAUUUUCGAAUUAGUAUUCAAUUUGGCACAAUUAUAUGAAUUAUCUGAGAAUUAUUUAGGCAAAAUAACAAUUUUUGGAAUUAUUUAAAAUAAACCAUAAGAUUUAGAAACAUGAAAUGCUGCAUUCAUGCUGGUGCAUAAUAUUUUUGAUUGAUUGUAAGCUAGGUUGUUUGGUUUAAAAAUCAAAUUGAAAGGGAUUUAUACAAAUAUAUAGUUCUGGAAAAUAUAAAAGAAUUUUCUCCUAUUCUUAUUUCUCUUCACCAAAUCUGGCCCAGCCCCUAAACCCUGGCCGGCCUGAACCCCGCGCCCACCUCUGGCCUUGGGCCGUGGCGGCCCAGCACCCCGCCCCUCGCCCGCGACGCGCGCGCACGCGGCCCAGUGGCGCGGCCCGCUCCGCGCGGUCAGCCCGCGCGUCCUCCCCCUCUCCCCCUCUCACUGCGCGGUGGGUCCCGGCUGUCGGCGCUCACCCUUCCCCCUCUCUCUCGCUGCACUGUGGGGUCCGCACGUCAGCGUCUUCCCCCUUCUUCUCCACCGAGCCGGGAGCACCGCUAGGGGCAUUCAUCCCCCUUCAAACGCCGAUUGAUGGAGGCCAUCAAUCGGGGCUCCAUCAAGCCGCCUUGACGCCGGGAGUUAACGCCCGCAUGCGCGCUCCCUCAAUGCCCUGCUCGCCCUAUAAAACCCCAGGCCGAGCCCCCCCUUGCUGCCCUAGCCACCACCGGAGCUCGGAGUCGAUCCCCCACCUCGGUUUCCCAUUGCUCGAGCGACCCAGAGCCAGGAGAUCGUCUCGGGAGUUUGGUUGAGACUCGCCGCGACCGUAGGCAUCGAUUUCAUCCUUGUUUUGAUCUUGUAUGCCACGAAUUUGAGCUCACCGUUGCCCUUUUCUUCCCCAGACCGCCGCGCUCGUGGCCACACUGCUCGGAGCACCUUCGGACGCAGCGAGCAUCUCCAUCGGAACCACGGUACUUCUACGAUACUCCCCGUGCUUUCAAUUUUGAACUAGAGCGCUAGACCACCGAGCCCGAGGCUCGCCGAGGCCGCGGAAGUGACACCACCGCGGGGCCGUCGUCCCGACGUGCUCCCCGCCCCUUCUUUGUGCUCUAUCGAGUUCGCCUCGUCGCGUAGAUCAUUUCGGUAACUUUAGUUUGGUUUGGAGUGGCCGAGAACGAGUUUCCGGUGAGCUCCGAGGAGCUCACCUCGUCGGCGACAAUGGCGCCGCCGUGCUCGGCCUCGGCCAGGCGAGCACCCCGCCUCCCUCCUUCCUGAGCCGCCCGAUUAGAUCCCAACGGUCCAGAUUACAUACCCCUUCGGGGUUAUGUAACCGGUCCACCGUGGACCCGUGGGCGCGGUCCACGACACUCGGCCGGCCGGUCCACGCGCACAGUGGUGGACCGAGCCAAUCCCCGCACGCCACGUGGCCCCCUGUCGGUCAGCGACGCGGUCAGCCGCGGGCCGCUGAAGUUUUUGCAGUUUAACCCCCCUGUUUCAAGCAAAUCAACCCGCGGUCCAAUCCAGUUCAAAAGUAUUUCUUUUUAAUCCUGUUUUGUUUCGUUUUGAGCCCUGUACUUUUAAAUAAUAGUGCGCGCAGUCCAGACCCGUUAGAAAGUCAGUUUUAAUUCUUUUAAAUUCAUUUUUGGAUUCAGUUUAUUCACAGAAAUGCCAUUCAUUUUGUUUUAUGCAUAACUUUCACGUUUUAAAUCCGAUUAGAGUGAUUCUUUCGCUCAUGUGUUCGUAGAAAUGCGUAGAGUAGAUUUAAAUACUUUUCAGUCACUGUUUUCACUAUUUGAUGUACUGUUCUAAUAGAACUCUAUUUGUAUGCAUGUGAUGAUUGGAAUGGAUGAUUGAUUGGUGUUUGGAUCACGAAUAGAAGGAGAUCAGGUUGGAGUGGUUGAGGAGCAGUUUGUGGAGCUCUACCAGGAAGAAACUUUUGAGGAAGGCAAGUGUAAUAUAGGCUUCCUUGUACCUAUGAAUAUUACUUAAAUCAUACAUAUGCAUGUGUCUAAAUUGGAAAUACCUAUAAGGACUUUACCUAGAUAAAUUUUGUACCACAAAUCCUUGUUACCCAUGGGAAGGUGUGCAUCUAUGUAGGUAGUUGCUUGCUAUGCUCAAAACUCAAGUUAAUAAAUUAAUCUGAUUAAAUUGGUGUAUGCAACAUGAUAAAAUAUGUACUAGUACCUUGGUUCAGGGGGCUAGAGCUUGGGUUUGAAAGCUCUAGAUUCCUCUCCAUAAGGACUUAAUCCUGAAGCGGCCACCCAGGAGGACACGUACAAUCCCGAGAGUCAAAUGGCUCUGACCUUAAUCAUAUAACUAGUAUGUCUCUAGCAAUUUAGUAGUUACCGAAAGGCGCUAGAGGGGGGUGCCUCGUGGUGUAUAGAUGUCACUCCUACCUUGGUGUGUACAGUGCCGCGACCACAUGUGCCUCUUGAAGGAGGUCGUCUAUGCACACUUGCCACUGAAACCUCGCGGCUACUAUUUUGUUAGGGUGACUAGUGAAAGGUUACGUAGUGGGACCCGGUCACACUUCCUCGGUAGAAGUGGUGUGGGCCUUGCAAACCCCAACACUAGGGAACCACGGCUCGGGGGUAAAGUUGUACAAUUUCUGCAGAAAUCUAAAACCUGUUAUAACAGCCGAGCUCUCGGUCAUGAGCGGCCUGGAUCCUUCUUGGUUAGCGGUUACUUGGUUAUAUUUGGGGAUUAUAAUAACUUUGAUUAAUUCAUAUGUAACCAGGGUUGGACAUUCACUAAAAGUAGUAAGUCUUGGUAAAUAAAAUAUGACCAACUAAAAUGCUAACCGCUGUUAAACCGAGUCAAGCCUUUGAGCCUUCAUAUACCCCUAUGUUAUACUUGCUAAGCAUGGUGCGCUUACACUUGUUUAUAUUUCAAUGAAAAUCCCGGAUGGGUAACAGAUGUGUGUACUGAGGAGUUCCCUGAAGAUGUCCAGGACUUCUAGAGAGCUGGUGUUCACCAGUUGGUGUCCCUGUGGCAACAAGGGCUUAGCUUCCCGUUUUAUGUAAUAAUGUUGCUAUGAGCAAGACUUUGUGAGAUAUUUAAGUUGAAUAAGCGAUGUAAUAAAGUACUUUACUUUGAUAUAUUUACAAUUUGUGAUAAUAUGUGUGUUUGGACAUCCUGGGCGCACAUAUUUGAGUACUUGGUUUUGUUAUCAAAACUGGGUGCGACAAAUUGGUAUCAAAGCUUAGCCUGACUGUAGGACGAUCAGCCUAGUUAGAAAUGGACGUUUUUAGGGUCUUGAGCACUUAUUUUACUAAUUAUUUUCUUAUAAAAUUAAUGCUUAUAACUUGCCUAAUAUCUAUUGAGAAAAUUAUUUUAUUCUAAUCCUCAUACAUUUUCUUAUAGAUGGCCCGUACCAAGUGGACAGCUCGCAAACGUGUCAUCAUGCCCAACAAGAGGACAAGGUUCACUCUAGGCAAGCGUGUUCCCCCGCAUCUGGUUGAAGCGCUGAGGGACAUGGAGGAGGAUCCACAAGAGGAACAAACCAUGGAUGUACCCAUGGAUGAGGAUGCUGAGGAGGAAGUCAUGAUAGAGGAACCAGUUGAGGACGAGGAAACCGAAGAGGAGCCCAUGGAGCAAGAUGAACAAGAGGGAGCUGGUGAUCCAGAUGAUGAAGAUAGUUCUGACAGCUCUGACUCAAGCGACCAUGGCAGUGGUGGUGAUGAUGGAGAUGGUGGUGGAGAUAGCCAAGAUCACCAUGCUGCGCUUCUGGCAAAGGGAUGGACAGUGGUGAUCCAUUUCGACUUGCAUGGUGACGCCUACUACCAUCCGAAGCUUCUUACUCUCGCACGUCGUUUCCAUGCCCGGUGUACUGUGCAGUACCGCACCGAGCAUUGGACUCACCCCGACUACAUCGGCUUCUGGGAGACUGAAGCUUACAUCCGAGAAGGAAGUCGGGUGUGCCACAUCCACCGUGCGAUCACCGCCAGGACUACCCGCGCAGCAGCUAUCCGGGACGCUGCCCGGCAGGCCUUGGUGGUGAACCGCGACCGCCACUUUGCUGACAUUGCAUGGGAAGAAGAUCGCUAUCUACCCCGCCGGCGGAGUGGUCAGACAAUCUGCAACAUCGCUGCACCACUUGUAGCAGGGAAUCCCAGAAUCCGACCCACCCUGGCAUGCUUGGCUCAAACCAACACAGACUUGGAUCGAGUCUCAGAUGAGCUAGAUGCCCUGAGGAAGGCCUACCUUGAGUUGGCUGUCGAGAACUCCAUGUUAAAGCAACAGCAGGGGAAUCAUGUUGAAGAAGUACCACUCAUCCUCGCGGAGUCACCCCUAAGGAACCACGAGGACCCCAACACCGGCACCAACCUUGACCCAUAGGAGGUUUCCCCAUUUGUAAUAAACACGCAUAGAGAUGCGAGAGCGUGUUCUUAUUUUCUACUGAUUGAACAAUUGCUACUUCGUGAAUACAUGCUUGUAAUAAUGCUUAAUGGAUGAGUUGGAUUUUUGUCAUGAUUGCAAUGAUUGUGGGCCUGUCCACAGUCAUUUAGAAUAGGGCUAAGGUCUAAGGAUAAUAUGAAUAAAUAGUUGGGUUUUACUUAUAUCUUGCUGUCUACCCAUGUUUUUCCCUCUGAGCAGUCCGCUUUAAAAAUUGUAUAUCUCGAGUUCUGGAUGGACUAAAAAUACAAAAAAACUUUAUGGAAUAAAAUAGAUUUCUAUAUCUUUCUUUUGGCUCUGGGAUCACCUCAAUAUCUGUUACCGUUUGAGAGAUAAAAUUUCCACAAGCUGACCUCUCUGCGCAGUCUGAAAACUUCAGAACAGUAAAACUUGUUCCUUGUUCUUACCUAUGUAAACGCCAGAAUUUGAGGAAGUGAUCUGAAUGAAAGUUGUAGGAAAAUUUCCAAGCUUUCCAGAAAGUUAAAUUUCGCAGCGAGAUGUUAAACAGAAAGAAAGUUAUGCUUGUUUUACUUCGCUAUAGCUUUAGUAAGAACAGCAGAAAAAUGCAGAAUGCAUACCACAUCGUACUCACAACAUAUGUAAUCCCAUACUUGAUCAGAUGGUGAUAAUUCCAGCAUAUUAUAUCUCUUGAAAAUUAAAUAUCUUGGAUAUAUGAGACUCAUAUUAUGCAUCUGGUACAGAUGGCCAACACUAGGAGGAACAGGAGGGGUGAGGAUGUGCCACCACCACCACCACCUCCUACUAUGGAGCAACUGAUGAUGAUGCAAACACAACUGCUGCAGCAACUGGCCCAAAAUAUGCAGAACAAUGGAAAUGGUAAUGGAAAUGCACCUCCUCAUGUUAGGGACAAGAGAGGAGAAUUCUUGAAGGGACAUCCACCUGUUUUCAAACACUCCACCGACCCUCUCGAAGCGGAUGACUGGCUUCGUGCGAUCGAAAGACAACUGGAGAUUGCACAGUGUGAUGACAGAGAGAAAGUGUUGUAUGCGGCAGGGCAAUUGCAAGGAGCUGCCCUUGAUUGGUGGGAUUCAUUUCGUUUUGGUCGUGCGGAUGCUGAUCCCAUAACUUGGAUGGAAUUCCGUAAUGCUUUCCGCUCUCAUCAUGUCCCUGCCGGACUGAUGAAACUGAAGAAGAAAGAAUUUCUCUCCCUCAAGCAAGGAAGUAUGUCUGUUGCUGAAUAUCGUGACAAGUUCAUACAAUUGUCACGAUAUGCUCCCACAGAGGUGGAGAACGAUGAAAAGAGACAGGAAUUAUUCAUGGAAGGGUUGAAUGAUGGGCUCCAAUACCAGCUGCUAUCCCACACUUUUGCAAGCUUUCAGUAUCUGGUGGACAAGGCCUUGGUGAUUGAGAACAAACGCCGCCAAAUGGAAGAUAAAAAGAGGAAGUUCCAGGGGCAACAGUCAGGAAACAACACGCGUACUCGUACCAAUCCUCCGCAAGCUUAUCCUCAGCAACGCUAUCAAGGUCAGUCAAGCCUGGUCAAUCGUAAUCCGCAGCCACAACGUGCACAGCAGCAGCAGCAGCAGUACCGAGCUCCUAACCUACGUCAGCAGCCAGUUAAUAAUGCUCCUGUAAAGACAAACGUUCCCAAUGCUCCACCAAAGAAUGGCGCACCAAAAGCACCAAAUGCCAACAAUGACAACAAAUGUUACAGCUGUGGUGAGCCGGGACACUACUCCAAUAGGUGCCCCAAGAAGAUGGCCCAGAACAAUAUCAGAGGAAGAGUAAAUCAUGUGACAGCCGAGGCGGCACAGGAGGCACCGGACGUGAUGCUCGGUAUGUUUCCAGUCAACUCAAGCCCCGCUACAGUUUUAUUCGAUUCCGGUGCAUCACAUUCCUUUAUUGCUCAGUCUUUUGUCAAGAAAUAUGAUAUACCCAUGAUUGCUAUGAAAAACUCCAUGAUAGUUAGCUCACCUGGAGCAGAAAUGCAAGCUACCCUUAGAUGCCCUCUAGUGAACAUCACCUUAAGGGGGGUAGAGUUUACAGUUAGCCCGGUGGUUUUGAAAACUUCUGGCAUUGAUGUUAUCUUGGGUAUGGAAUGGUUGAAACAGAGAAAAGCAGUUAUACAAUGUGAUAGCAAAACAGUUCAGUUAAUGACACCUUCAGGCCAACAAAUUGAGGUAGAGGUUAGCAUGUCGGCUAAGCAAUAUUACACAGUUAAUCAGCUGAAGGGGACAUCCAUAGAGGACAUACGGAUAGUGAAUGAGUAUCCGGACGUAUUCCCUGAGGAACUGCCAGGUAUGCCACCUGACCGUGACAUUGAGUUUAUAAUUGAACUUUUACCUGGAACUGCACCCAUAGCUAAAAGACCAUAUAGAAUGGGUGUGAAUGAGUUAGCAGAACUUAAGAAGCAAUUAAGAGAGUUGCUAGAUAAGGGUUAUGUUCAACCAAGUUCCUCACCUUGGGGAGCACCAGUGUUAUUCGUAGAAAAGAAAGAUGGUACACAAAGAAUGUGUAUAGACUACAGAUCACUUAAUGAGGUCACAAUUAAGAACAAGUAUCCACUCCCUAGGAUUGAUGACCUGUUUGACCAGUUGAAAGGAGCCUGUGUGUUUUCUAAGAUAGACCUUCGGUCUGGUUAUCAUCAGUUAAGGAUAAGACGAUCUGAUAUCCCUAAAACUACUUUUGUGACUCGAUACGGACUAUAUGAGUUUACAGUUAUGUCCUUUGGGUUGACAAAUGCACCUGCCUACUUUAUGUAUUUGAUGAACAAAGUAUUCAUGGAAUACCUUGACAAGUUCGUGGUUGUGUUCAUAGAUGACAUACUUGUUUUCUCUAAAAAUGAGAUAGAACAUGAGAAACACUUGAGAUUGGUGCUACAAAAGCUUAGAGAACAUCAACUCUAUGCUAAGCUUAGUAAAUGUGAAUUUUGGUUAAAAGAGGUAUCUUUCCUUGGGCACAUCAUCUCUAACGGAGGGGUAGCAGUGGACCCAAAAAAGGUCCAGGAUGUGUUAAGCUGGAAACCACCCAAAGAUGUGAGUGAAAUUAGAAGUUUCCUUGGAAUGGCCGGGUACUAUAGAAGAUUUAUUGAGGGUUUCUCAAAGCUAGCCAAACCAAUGACCGCUCUGCUAGAAAAGAAUGCUAAAUUUAUAUGGUCCAAAGAGUGUCAAGCCAGUUUUGAAGAGUUGAAAAAGAGACUGACUUCUGCCCCCGUACUCAUCUUACCUGACAUCACUAAGAGUUUCUCUAUCUACUGUGAUGCCUCUCGGCAAGGUCUUGGUUGUGUACUCAUGCAAGAGGGCAGAGUGGUGGCCUAUGCCUCUAGACAGUUAAGGAAACACGAGUUGAACUACCCGACCCAUGAUUUGGAGUUAGCGGCCGUGGUGCACGCUCUAAAAAUAUGGAGACACUAUCUAAUCGGUCAUAAAUGUGAGAUUUAUACAGAUCAUAAGAGUUUAAAAUAUAUCUUCACCCAGUCUGAUUUGAACUUAAGACAACGAAGAUGGUUGGAACUGAUUAAGGACUACGACCUGGAGGUACACUAUCACCCGGGUAAAGCUAAUGUAGUGGCAGAUGCCCUGAGUAGAAAGAGCUAUGUUAAUAUGGCUUAUGUGACUCAAUUACCUAGGGAGUUGUGCGAAGAGUUUGAACAUCUGAACCUGAGUAUAGUGGCUAAUACUAUGGAGUUGGAGGUGGAACCUACACUAGAAUGAGAUAUCCGUAAAGGACAAUUGGAAGAUGAGAAAAUUAAAGAUAUCGCGGGACGGAUAGUGAUUGGUAAGGCACCAGGAUUCCACAUGGAUGAUCAAGGAACAGUAUGGUUCGGUAAGAGGAUUUGUGUACCCGAGAUAAAGUCUAUUAGAGAGGCUAUCUUGAGAGAAGCUCAUGACUCCGCUUAUUCUAUACACCCGGGUAGUACUAAAAUGUACCUCGACUUAAAAGAAAGAUAUUGGUGGUAUGGCUUGAAAAGAGAUGUGGCAGAAUAUGUGGCUAUAUGUGAUACCUGCCAAAGAGUAAAAGCAGAACAUCAGAGACCAGCAGGAUUACUUCAACCCAUGAAAAUACCUGAGUGGAAGUGGGAGGAAGUUGGGAUGGACUUUAUAGUGGGACUACCUCGGACACAGAAAGGAUACGAUUCUAUUUGGGUUAUUGUAGAUCGAUUGACCAAGGUAGCUCACUUCAUCCCUGUCAAGACUACCUAUUCCGGGGCAAAGUUGGCAGAAUUAUACAUGGAAAGGAUUGUGUGUUUACAUGGGGUGCCAAAGAAAAUCGUUUCUGAUAGAGGGACACAGUUUACAUCACACUUUUGGCAGAAGCUACAUGAGUCCAUGGAUACCAAAUUGAAUUUUAGUUCGGCCUACCAUCCUCAAACAGAUGGACAGACAGAAAGAACAAACCAGAUACUAGAAGAUAUGUUGAGAGCUUGUGCCCUGCAGUACGGGACAAGUUGGGACAAAAGUUUACCCUACGCAGAGUUCUCCUAUAAUAAUAGUUAUCAGAAGAGUCUCAAAAUGGCACCUUUUGAGGUAUUAUAUGGCAGGAAGUGCAGGACACCGCUAUUCUGGAGUCAAACUGGGGAAAGUCAAGUUUUUGGGCCCGAAAUCUUGCAAGAAGCAGAGAAACAAGUACACACAGUAAGACAGAACUUGAAAAUAGCACAGUCACGACAGAAAAGUUAUGCAGAUACCAGGAGAAGGGAUUUGGAAUUCCAAAUAGGAGAUUAUGUGUAUCUCAAGGUCUCACCUAUGAGAGGAGUCAAGAGAUUUCAUACAAAGGGGAAGUUGUCUCCCAGGUAUGUGGGACCAUUUAAGAUCAUUGCUUGGAGAGGAGAAGUCGCCUAUCAACUGGAAUUACCUGAGCAACUCUCUAGUGUUCACAAUGUUUUCCAUGUGUCACAGCUUAAGAAAUGUCUGAGAGUACCCGAAGAACAGUUACCUCUGGAAGAGCUCGAUGUUCAAAAAGACCUUUCCUAUAAAGAAUAUCCUGUAAGAAUUUUGGAGACAGCAGAAAGAACCACCAGGAGCAAGGUCAUAAGAAUGUGCAAAGUACAAUGGAAUAGGCAUUCAAAAGAUGAAGCAACCUGGGAAAGAGAGGACGACUUAAAAUCUGAGUACCCUCAUCUUUUUGAACCAUCCGAAUCUCGAGGACGAGAUUCAUCCUAAGGGGGGUAGGUUUGUAACACCCUAAAAAUUUAUUUUCGAAUUAGUAUUCAAUUUGGCACAAUUAUAUGAAUUAUCUGAGAAUUAUUUAGGCAAAAUAACAAUUUUUGGAAUUAUUUAAAAUAAACCAUAAGAUUUAGAAACAUGAAAUGCUGCAUUCAUGCUGGUGCAUAAUAUUUUUGAUUGAUUGUAAGACUAGGUUGUUUGGUUUAAAAAUCAAAUUGAAAGGGAUUUAUACAAAUAUAUAGUUCUGGAAAAUAUAAAAGAAUUUUCUCCUAUUCUUAUUUCUCUUCACCAAAUCUGGCCCAGCCCCUAAACCCUGGCCGGCCUGAACCCCGCGCCCACCUCUGGCCUUGGGCCGUGGCGGCCUAGCACCCCGCCCCUCGCCCGCGACGCGCGCGCACGCGGCCCAGUGGCGCGGCCCGCUCCGCGCGGUCAGCGCCUUCCCCCUUCUUCUCCACCGAGCCGGGAGCACCGCUAGGGGCAUUCAUCCCCCUUCAAACGCCGAUUGAUGGAGGCCAUCAAUCGGGGCUCCAUCAAGCCGCCUUGACGCCGGGAGUUAACGCCCGCAUGCGCGCUCCCUCAAUGCCCUGCUCGCCCUAUAAAACCCCAGGCCGAGCCCCCCCUUGCUGCCCUAGCCACCACCGGAGCUCGGAGUCGAUCCCCCACCUCGGUUUCCCCUUGCUCGAGCGACCCAGAGCCAGGAGAUCGUCUCGGGAGUUUGGUUGAGACUCGCCGCGACCGUAGGCAUCGAUUUCAUCCUUGUUUUGAUCUUGUAUGCCACGAAUUUGAGCUCACCGUUGCCCUUUUCUUCCCCAGACCGCCGCGCUCGUGGCCACACUGCUCGGAGCACCUUCGGACGCAGCGAGCAUCUCCAUCGGAACCGCGGUACUUCUACGAUACUCCCCGUGCUUUCAAUUUUGAACUAGAGCGCUAGACCACCGAGCCCGAGGCUCGCCGAGGCCGCGGAAGUGACACCACCGCGGGGCCGUCGUCCCGACGUGCUCCCCACCCCUUCUUUGUGCUCUAUCGAGUUCGCCUCGUCGCGUAGAUCAUUUCGGUAACUUUAGUUUGGUUUGGAGUGGCCGGGAACGAGUUUCCGGUGAGCUCCGAGGAGCUCACCUCGUCGGCGACAAUGGCGCCGCCGUGCUCGGCCUCGGCCAGGCGAGCACCCCGCCUCCCUCCUUCCUGAGCCGCCCGAUUAGAUCCCAACGGUCCAGAUUACAUACCCCUUCGGGGUUAUGUAACCGGUCCACCGUGGACCCGUGGGCGCGGUCCACGACACUCGGCCGGCCGGUCCACGCGCACAGUGGUGGACCGAGCCAAUCCCCGCACGCCACGUGGCCCCCUGUCGGUCAGCGACGCGGUCAGCCGCGGGCCGCUGAAGUUUUUGCAGUUUAACCCCCCUGUUUCAAGCAAAUCAACCCGCGGUCCAAUCCAGUUCAAAAGUAUUUCUUUUUAAUCCUGUUUUCUUUCGUUUUGAGCCCUGUACUUUUAAAUAAUAGUGCGCGCAGUCCAGACCCGUUAGAAAGUCAGUUUUAAUUCUUUUAAAUUCAUUUUUGGAUUCAGUUUAUUCACAGAAAUGCCAUUCAUUUUGUUUUAUGCAUAACUUUCACGUUUUAAAUCCGAUUAGAGUGAUUCUUUCGCUCAUGUGUUCGUAGAAAUGCGUAGAGUAGAUUUAAAUACUUUUUAGUCACUGUUUUCACUAUUUGAUGUACUGUUCUAAUAGAACUCUAUUUGUAUGCAUGUGAUGAUUGGAAUGGAUGAUUGAUUGGUGUUUGGAUCACGAAUAGAAGGAGAUCAGGUUGGAGUGGUUGAGGAGCAGUUUGUGGAGCUCUACCAGGAAGAAACUUUUGAGGAAGGCAAGUGUAAUAUAGGCUUCCUUGUACCUAUGAAUAUUACUUAAAUCAUACAUAUGCAUGUGUCUAAAUUGGAAAUACCUAUAAGGACUUUACCUAGAUAAAUUUUGUACCACAAAUCCUUGUUACCCAUGGGAAGGUGUGCAUCUAUGUAGGUAGUUGCUUGCUAUGCUCAAAACUCAAGUUAAUAAAUUAAUCUGAUUAAAUUGGUGUAUGCAACAUGAUAAAAUAUGUACUAGUACCUUGGUUCAGGGGGCUAGAGCUUGGGUUUGAAAGCUCUAGAUUCCUCUCCAUAAGGACUUAAUCCUGAAGCGGCCACCCAGGAGGACACGUACAAUCCCGAGAGUCAAAUGGCUCUGACCUUAAUCAUAUAACUAGUAUGUCUCUAGCAAUUUAGUAGUUACCGAAAGGCGCUAGAGGGGGGUGCCUCGUGGUGUAUAGAUGUCACUCCUACCUUGGUGUGUACAGUGCCGCGACCACAUGUGCCUCUUGAAGGAGAUCGUCUAUGCACACUUGCCACUGAAACCUCGCGGCUACUAUUUUGUUAGGGUGACUAGUGAAAGGUUACGUAGUGGGACCCGGUCACACUUCCUCGGUAGAAGUGGUGUGGGCCUUGCAAACCCCAACACUAGGGAACCACGGCUCGGGGGUAAAGUUGUACAAUUUCUGCAGAAAUCUAAAACCUGUUAUAACAGCCGAGCUCUCGGUCAUGAGCGGCCUGGAUCCUUCUUGGUUAGCGGUUACUUGGUUAUAUUUGGGGAUUAUAAUAACUUUGAUUAAUUCAUAUGUAACCAGGGUUGGACAUUCACUAAAAGUAGUAAGUCUUGGUAAAUAAAAUAUGACCAACUAAAAUGCUAACCGCUGUUAAACCGAGUCAAGCCUUUGAGCCUUCAUAUACCCCUAUGUUAUACUUGCUAAGCAUGGUGCGCUUACACUUGUUUAUAUUUCAAUGAAAAUCCCGGAUGGGUAACAGAUGUGUGUACUGAGGAGUUCCCUGAAGAUGUCCAGGACUUCUAGAGAGCUGGUGUUCACCAGUUGGUGUCCCUGUGGCAACAAGGGCUUAGCUUCCCGUUUUAUGUAAUAAUGUUGCUAUGAGCAAGACUUUGUGAGAUAUUUAAGUUGAAUAAGCGAUGUAAUAAAGUACUUUACUUUGAUAUAUUUACAAUUUGUGAUAAUAUGUGUGUUUGGACAUCCUGGGCGCACAUAUUUGAGUACUUGGUUUUGUUAUCAAAACUGGGUGCGACACAGGCACACACACUGCUUCCUAAAAGAAACUAGUACAUUCUGAUCACUUCCACAUUCCAGCGACAAUCACACUAGAAAACCUACAAGGCCUAAAAAACAGGGGAAUCAAUCACAAUCUUCAUGUUUUUCUUGCCCACUUCAGCGUCCAGUGCAAGCAUCGACUCAACAGGACAUUGUUCACUGAAGGCAUCAGUGUCUAGUGCAAGCAUCAGCACCCUGCAAUAAAAAAUAGAGGAUGCAAAAUCAGCAUGUCUGAAUGGAAUGGACAGGAGCAUGGUGCAUAAAUAGCAGGUCGGCAAGGGGCUCCUGCGCGUCGGCAGGGGCUUCGGCGCGGCGGGCGCGUCCUCCGGCAGCAGGCGGGGGCUCCGACGCGGGAGGCACCGGCUACGGCGUGGCGCAGGAGAUCCAGCGCAGUGGGCGUGUGCUCCGGCGAGGGUGCAUCCUUCGGCGAGGGGUGGGGGCUCUAGACGGGACGGCUUCAGCUCGGGACGGAAUGUGGGAGGGGGAUCCAGCGCGGCGGGCGAGUGCUCCGGCGACGCGCGGGGCCUCGCGACUCAUGAGGGGCACGUGCUCCGGCGGCGGCGUCGGGCUUGGUACGGCUAUUGGGAACGAACUGGAGACUGUGUGCUCUGGUGGGCUUAGAUGGGCUGGACUCUUCGUGGCCUGCAACUAGAUGGAAGCAUAUACAGUCAAACCGUUAGAUGUAAAUGAACGGUUCGAUUUGGGUGACUGCAGCCAGCCAUCGCUGGGAAGUCUGUGUAGAGUUACGAGGACGCUACGCUAGCCAGAAAAUCAAAAUUUUCGCCCCAUAAUCCAGGAUCUACUGCUAGAGAUAGGUUACGGAUAUACCACUCGACGUGUAGAUGCAGCGGAAGACGACUCGAUGUAGUCGAACACGUCGUAGCAGUGCCGUGCAGUUGCGUGGUCGUCCAGCAAGUCCUCCCACCACUUGCGGUUCGUCCUCGUGCUCCAGAUGCAGCACCUCCGAGGUGUCCCACACGUACGGGGAAGAAGCGAUGCGCCUCCGGACUGCUAGGUCCGCGAGAAGCGAAGGCGCGAGCGUGGAGGGCGACGGCGGCUGCCAAAAGGCGUGGAUCAAGUCUGGCCGCGCCCCUCCCUCUACUUAUAUAGGCGUCCCUAAUGUGCUCCCGAGUUGGAGGCCCAUUAGUAACCCUAAGCCUUGUCUAAUUCGGGUCCAACCCGAAUUAGGCUUCCAGCCCCUUAAGCGUGCGACCCUAUGGGUUCACGUACACAUAGACAUGGGCCGAGUACUCCUACUCGCUCAAUAGUUGACAGCGGCCUCUAGCAAGGCGUGACAACUCCUAUAUGCACGCAAAUGAUCAUAUCAGACGAACCACUACACCACAUACAUGUUGCUCCCUUGCCUCAUGAUAUUUGGUUCAACUCGUGGGUUAACACUUAACCCAAGCACGGCCAUGCAUUUGUUGAUCCAAUCACUUGAGUGAUCCAGUGAUAUCUCUCUCAAUCAAGAGGGGCAAAUUCCAUCUUGAUUGACUAUGCCUCGCAGCAUGUUUCCUGACAAACCUGAAGACUACCUUUAUAGCUACCCAGUUACGGAGUAGCGUUUGAUAGUCUCUAAGUAGGUCGUUUCACAUCUCGAAUGCAUACGACAAUCUCAGGUCUAAGGACAUAACAUAUAUGAUGUGAAUAGAGACUAUAACAUCUCACGUUGGGUCUAUCCAGCCCUAUGUCAUACAUGUGCCCACAAUAUUAGUUUGACAUCUCUAUGUCCAUGACCUGUGAAACAUGGUCAUCAACUAAUAUUGUGCUGAUCUAAUAUACUUGUAUGUCUCACACACAUUGAUCAGGGACAACUUUAGAAUAACCAUACAAGUAAAAGAGUUUCACAAAACAAUUCACAUAAUUGUCAAUCGAUACAAGUUGCCUUUCAAUGGAUAUUCAAUAUACUCAUAAUAUGUCAUGGAUAUAAUGUAAUACAAUCAUCUCUAUGAUUACCUCUAGGGCAUAUUACCAACAGUCUCCCACUUGCACUAGAGUUAAUCUCUAAGAUGUCUAAUACCCAUAGACCUCUUGUGCGCCUCAUGCUUAGGCUGUGGAAGGGCCUUUGUCAACGGAUCUGCUACAUUCAAAUCCGUGUGUAUCUUGCACAUUUUAAUUUCACCUCUUUUGAUGAACUGACGAAUGAGGUGAAAUUUCCGAAGUACAUGUUUGUUCUUCUGGUGAUUCCUUGGCUCCUUAGCCUGCGCUAUGGCCCCAUUGUUGUCACAAUGUAGAUUCAAUGGGCUAGCCGCAUUAGGAAACACACCAAGCUCAAUGAGGAACCGUCUCAUCCAAACACCUUCUUUUGCAGCUUCAGAAGCUGCAAUGUACUCGGCUUCUGCUGUAGAAUCAGACACUGUCUCCUGCUUGGAACUUUUCCAGCUAACUGCACCACCAUUUAUAGUGAACACAAAACCUGAUUGAGAUUGUGAAUCAUCUACAUCAGUUUGGAAGCUAGCAUCGGUGUAACCAUUUACAACGAGCUCCUCCUCACCUCCAUAGAUUAGGAACUCAUCCUUAGUCCUUCUCAAGUACUUAAGAAUGUUUUUAACAAGCGUCCAGUGACUCUCACCAGGAUUAGCUUGGUACCUGCUCGCAACACUUAGAGCAUAUGAGACAUCUGGGCGAGUACAUAUCAUGGCAUACAUGAUGGAACCAACUGCUGAAGCAUAUGGAACCUUACUCAUGCGUUUGCGCUCUUCAUCUGAUGAAGGACACUGCUUGUCGCUAAAACGCAUACCAUGUGACAUAGGCAAGAACCCUUUCUUGGACUGCUCCAUGUUGAACCGUUUCAACACCUUGUCAAUGUACGUAUCUUGGCAUAAUCCUAUUAGCCUCUUCGACCUAUCUCUAUAGAUCUUAAUACCCAAGAUGUAUGCUGCAUCUCCUAAAUCCUUCAUAGAAAAACUAUUAUUCAUUGAAGUCUUUACAGAUUGCAACAUAGAAAUGUCAUUCCCAAUCAAUAGUAUGUCAUCCACAUACAAGAUCAGAAACACAACAGCGCUCCCACUAGCCUUUUGAUAAACGCAAGGCUCUUCUUCAUUCUGACGGAAGCCAAACCCUUUGACAACCUCAUCAAAACGAAUGUUCCAACUCCGAGAUGCUUGCUUUAACCCAUAAAUAGAUUUUUUUUAGCUUGCAUAUUUUUCUAGCAUUAUUUGGAUCAACAAAACCUUCGGGCUGUAUCAUAUACACGUCCUCUUCUAAAUUUCCAUUUAGAAAGGCUGUUUUAACAUCCAUCUGCCAAAUCUCAUAAUCGAAAUAAGCAGCUAUUGCUAGAAUGAUCCGGAUAGAUUUAAGCAUCGCUACUGGAGAGAAUGUCUCAUCGUAGUCAAUUCCUUGAACUUGCCGGAAACCCUUUGCGACAAGUCGAGCUUUAUAGACUUGAACAUUUCCAUCCAUAUCCCUUUUCUUUUUAUAGAUCCAUUUGCACUCGAUGGGUCUAACACCAUCAGGUGGAUCAACCAAGUUCCAAACUUGAUUGGCAUCCAUGGAAUCUAUCUCGGAUCUCAUGGCACUUUGCCAUCUCUCAGAAUCUGGGCCCAUCACUGCUCCCGCAUAAGUCGCUGGCUCGUCAUUGUCUAACAACAACAGCUCCCCUCGUGCUUCACGAAGUCUUACCGAUGGGGUUAUGACUCUUGUAGACCUUCGUGGUUGUGGUGGUGCCACAGGUAUCUCAUCUUGUUCUGCUACAUUAGCAUCACUUUUGGAGUCGUUUCCUGUCGGCUCAUCUUGAACUUCUUCAAGAUACACCUUUUGUCCACUUUUCUCUCUUUUGAGAAACUCUUUCUCUAAGAAAACACCAUUCCGAGCAACAAACACUUUGCCCUCUGAUCGGUUAUAGAAGUAAUACCCUAAAGUUUCCUUUGGGUAUCCCACGAAGAAGCACUUGUCCGAUUUGGGUGUUAACUUAUCUGACAUAAGUCGUUUAACAUAAACUUCACAACCCCAAAUUUUUAGAAAAGACAAACUGGGACUCUUACCAGUCCACAUCUCAUAUGGUGUCUUAACUACGGACUUAGACGGUACCCUAUUUAGUGUGAAAGCGGCUGUUUCUAGAGCGUAUCCCCAAAACGAUAGUGGAAGGUCUGUCUGGCUCAUCAUAGACCGAACCAUGUCUAACAAAGUCCGAUUACGUCGCUCGGACACACCGUUUCUCUGUGGCGUUCCAGGCGGCGUAAGCUGUGGAACAAUUCCGCAACUCUUUAGAUGAUUGCUAAAUUCGUGGCUCAAAUAUUCACCUCCACGAUCAGAUCGUAAAGCUUUAAUUUUCUUGCCACGUUGAUUCUCUACUUCGUUCUGAAAUUCCUUGAACUUUUCGAAGGUUUCAGACUUGUGUUUCAUUAGGUAGACAUAACCAUAUCUACUAAAAUCAUCAGUGAAGGUUACAAAGUAUUCGAAUCCGCCUCUAGCUGUCGUGCUCAUUGGUCCACACACAUCACUAUGUAUAAGUUCCAACAAGUCAAUCGCCCUCUCAGGAAAACCUGUGAAAGGCGUUUUAGUCAUCUUUCCAAGCAAGCAAGCCUCACAUGUCUCGUAAGAUUCGAAAUCAAACGAAGUUAGAAGUCCAUCAUUAUGGAGCCUCUUCAUGCGAUUCUCACUAAUAUGACCUAAACGACAAUGCCACAUAUAGGUAGGACUUAACUCAUUAAGCCGAGGCUUUUUAGCACUUAUAUUACAGAUAGGUGAAUCAUCAAGAUUUAAAAUAAAUAACCCAUUCACAAUGGAAGCAGAAGCCACAAACAUGCCAUUACGAGAUAUUACACAACCAUUGUCUUUACUCGCGAAUGUAUAACCAUCCUCCAUCAAACAUGAAGGCGACACAAUGUUUCGACUCAAGCUAGGAAUAAAAUAACAAUUAUUCAACUCCAAAAUAAAUCCUGAAGGAAGGUGAAGCUGCUUUAUCCCGACGUUCAACGCAGCAACUCUUGCAUUGUUGCCCACGCGGAAAUCAACUUCUCCCUUUUCCACGCUCCUACUUCUUAUCAUCCCCUGCAUCGUAUUGCAAAUAUGAGCAACCGAUCCGGUAUCAAAUACCCAAGAAUUGAUAUAAGAUUGAGCGAGAAAAAUAUCUGUAAUAUAAACAACAAAUGUACGAGUGGAAGUACCUUUACUGCCACGAUCCUUUAUGGACUCCAAGUACACCUUGCAGUUUCUCUUCCAGUGACCUUCCCCACCACAGUGAAAGCACUUGGUGCUCGCAGUUGGUCCAGCCUUAGGUGCAGGUGGGUUUGGCUUAGAGGUCUCACCUUUAGCCUUGCCCUUUUUCUUCCUCCACGCAUUGCCCUUCUUCUUAAAGUUAGGCUUGUUCUGGAUUGCCAUCACAUGGCUACUGCUAGCACCCUUCUUGAUGUCUGCCUCUGCUUGCUUAAGCAUCCCACACAGCUCAUUCAAGCCCUUCUCGGCCCCAUGCAUAUGGUAGUUCGAGAUGAAGUUCCCAUAGCUAGGCGGAAGCGAUGCAAGAAUGAAAUCAGUGGCUAACUCAUCGCCAAUUGGGAAGCCUAGCUUCUCCAACCUGUUUGUGUAACCAACUAACUUGAUCACGUGUGGUCCAACCGCUGCGCCUUCUGCUAGCUUAGUUUCAACCAAAGCCUUGGAAACAUUGAACCUUUCAGUCCUGGCUUGAGUUUGGAACAUUUCCUCAAGCGCCACGAUCAUAUCGUUCGCCGAGUGACCAUCAAACUGCAUUUGUAGGUCUGGUUCCAUGGAAGCAAGCAUGAGGCAACUCACUUCAAGAUCAGCAUCAGAUGCUUUCUUGUAAGCGUUUCUCUCAGCAGCGGGUGCAUUUUCAGCAGGCUCAUCAGGAAGUGGGGUGUCUAGAACAUCUUCCUUUUUCUCAGCCCUGAGAACAAUUCUCAGGUUGCGGAUCCAAUCCGCGUAGUUUGUUCCAUUUAACUUAUCUUUCUCAAGAAUUGAACGCAAUGAAAACGGUUGCUUGUUAGCGGCAGCCAUUGAUCUACAACAAAAGUAUGCAAAAUACUAAGACAAUAUAUCCAAGACGGAGUAAAACAAAAUAAACAAUUUAUUAAUCUACUCCCACUAAAAUCAAUAUCCCUCUAUUGAUACUUAGUGAUUCAAGAUCCACAUCUAACAUGUCUACUAGUGAGCUUUAGCAUCACCGCUAGCAGGCAUGGUAAAUCGGUAAGCAACUCCUUGCUAAUCAUAUCUCAUAUGACUCUUGUUGUUGGGUAGCAUCUCUAUGCCUCACGCCCAACUCUCAUGCUUCAAAGUCCCUAACCGUUAGGAUGACUUUGUCUAAGCAACCAACCCUUAUGCAGUAAGUAUCCGAUACAAACCUGUCUAGUCAAAGAAAAUUAGUGGUACCCUAAUUUCAUAGACCCACCACCAAUUGUACAAGACCGGUGACAGUGCAAGGUUUGGGGAAGCAUUUCCACUUAGACAUUGCUGAGGGAUCGUUCUACUUCACUACCGCGCUUAUGUAGACAAAAACAUCAUCGCAUAUGAAAGUAGAAUGUAGUAAGAACGGCAUUAAACACGUAUGACUUGGUAUAGCCCAUGGUUCCUUUUGGGGAUCUCUAUCUCCAUCUUUCUGUUCACCAUGGCGAUCUCCAUCUCCAUGAUUUACGUAUGCCAUCCUUCAUGUGAUGAAUCCGCCAUGAUUAAUCAAUCACUAACGCAAGGCAGUGAAAUAAAAUUACAUAAUCGCGGAUUGUAUCAUCACAGAUUGGCACGCAGGCCAUUACAUUAAUUUUGACAAUAUCAAAAGGCUCCUGCCAUAUUGUCCUCAUGACGUGCAAACCAUGAAUUAAUUACACACAUGCAUCACAUACACAUAAGGGCUAUACCAGUCAUGAAUUCCUGCAAAACAGAGUUAUGCGAUUCUGACACAUAAACUUGCAGGGGCAAAAACUCUAUUUUCCAAGAGGUUUUUCGCGAUUCUAAAAUCGGCGAUCACGGCGAAGCGGUGCGAAAUCCCGACUAAAAUUUCGUUUCCUAUGCGGCAACGCGGGAAUCGUCUCAAUCCGAGUUACGGUUUAAGAGUUAUGGCUGUUUUACCGAACAGCGGUAACCCGGCGUCCAGCAGUAGAUCCCAUCUACCACCGCCGCGCAUCAUAUGCGCCCGGCACUUGACCUAGGGUUCAAUUCAAUCAAUCUAAUUGAUCUCUAACUCGACAUGAUUGGAUUUACAUGUAUCACUUAACUCGGAUGGCGGAAUUCCGACCGGUACGAGUAGAUCGUUACAUGACCAAUCACGGCAAGAUGAUGAACCAAGAUCAGAGACUCAUCAACGACCGCACAAAUCAUCAUAUGAACAAAACCGAACCUAUAACGAGGCAGUAAUAGCUCUGAUACCACUGUAGAGUUACGAGGACGCUACGCUAGCCAGAAAAUCAAAAUUUUCGCCCCAUAAUCCAGGAUCUACUGCUAGAGAUAGGUUACGGAUAUACCACUCGACGUGUAGAUGCAGCGGAAGACGACUCGAUGUAGUCGAACACGUCGUAGCAGUGCCGUGCAGUUGCGUGGUCGUCCAGCAAGUCCUCCCACCACUUGCGGUUCGUCCUCGUGCUCCAGAUGCAGCACCUCCGAGGUGUCCCACACGUACGGGGAAGAAGCGAUGCGCCUCCGGACUGCUAGGUCCGCGAGGAGCGAAGGCGCGAGCGUGGAGGGCGACGGCGGCUGCCAAAAGGCGUGGAUCAAGUCUGGCCGCGCCCCUCCCUCUACUUAUAUAGGCGUCCCUAAUGUGCUCCCGAGUUGGAGGCCCAUUAGUAACCCUAAGCCUUGUCUAAUUCGGGUCCAACCCGAAUUAGGCUUCCAGCCCCUUAAGCGUGCGACCCUAUGGGUUCACGUACACAUAGACAUGGGCCGAGUACUCCUACUCGCUCAAUAGUUGACAGCGGCCUCUAGCAAGGCGUGACAACUCCUAUAUGCACGCAAAUGAUCAUAUCAGACGAACCACUACACCACAUACAUGUUGCUCCCUUGCCUCAUGAUAUUUGGUUCAACUCGUGGGUUAACACUUAACCCAAGCACGGCCAUGCAUUUGUUGAUCCAAUCACUUGAGUGAUCCAGUGAUAUCUCUCUCAAUCAAGAGGGGCAAAUUCCAUCUUGAUUGACUAUGCCUCGCAGCAUGUUUCCUGACAAACCUGAAGACUACCUUUAUAGCUACCCAGUUACGGAGUAGCGUUUGAUAGUCUCUAAGUAGGUCGUUUCACAUCUCGAAUGCAUACGACAAUCUCAGGUCUAAGGACAUAACAUAUAUGAUGUGAAUAGAGACUAUAACAUCUCACGUUGGGUCUAUCCAGCCCUAUGUCAUACAUGUGCCCACAAUAUUAGUUUGACAUCUCUAUGUCCAUGACCUGUGAAACAUGGUCAUCAACUAAUAUUGUGCUGAUCUAAUAUACUUGUAUGUCUCACACACAUUGAUCAGGGACAACUUUAGAAUAACCAUACAAGUAAAAGAGUUUCACAAAACAAUUCACAUAAUUGUCAAUCGAUACAAGUUGCCUUUCAAUGGAUAUUCAAUAUACUCAUAAUAUGUCAUGGAUAUAAUGUAAUACAAUCAUCUCUAUGAUUACCUCUAGGGCAUAUUACCAACAGUCUGCUGAUAGGAUUCCUCCAACUGCUAGGUGGAAUCUACCACGUGAGCUUUUGCACUAAUGGACUCGGCCGAGCCAUGACCUAACACCUUUUUUCGUCUUUUUUUCUAGCAAAAUGUUGCGUAUUUUAAACGCAAACAGAAAAAUCCACAAGCGCACGGAUAACGAUGUAGUUUUCACCCGAGAGUAUUCCAGAGUAUCGAUUUUCCAUAGGGAACGUGAGUGUACUAAUUAAGAUUCAAGAUCGCAAAGACUAGAGCACAUGAUGCAAGCGGGAAUCCAAUAAAUAACUUGAAUGUAAAUAAAAGUAAUUAAAGAACUCAGGAAUUAUGAAUUGAAGAAAUUAGAGAACGAUGAAGAACGAACCAGUUGCUGCAAAAGUACAAUGUUGAGGAAGAUCCGACAGAUCCGGCUCCUCCUCCGCUCUCCUCUUCUCUCUCCCUAUUUUCUAGAUUACAACUAGAACUAACUAGAACUGGAACUAGAGGAACUAGAACUAGAACUAGAUGAACUAGAGGGAUCCUCUCUACUUGGAUGAAUAAUUGAAACCCUAACUUUGAUUCUGUAGAAGAGGUAUGUUCUCCAGGGCCAGGGGGUCUGCUUAUAUAAUCCCCUCAAGUGAAUCUCGGUUGUUGGAUCAAACCGACAUUGAUUGAACGGUUAUCCUUGAUCCCUUAGGUCAGUGGAGCAUGAUCCGCGAAGUUGACCCUGAUUGGGCACUACGGGAGGGCGGGCGCCCUGGUCUCUAGGGCGGGCGCCCUGGGCCAGGCCUCGUUCUGCCUCCACUUUGUUCUCGUGGCUUCUGGAGUCUUCUAGAUGAUAGAAAAUUGCCGCACACGUUAAUAUCUCUAUGUAAACCCGACGUGUGGGCCUUUCCUCCGUAUUUCCUGAUAACCCCCUGUAGAAAUAGACAAACACCAAAACUCGUGGAAUUCUGUCAGAUAAAACCCUAAGUCUGGGUGUUGGUUGCAUUUGAAUUCUUUUCCAUGAUUAAUUGAUGGUUAAAUGUGAGCAUUAAGGACCGUCAACAAGCUCCCCCAAGCUUAACCUUUGCUCGUCCCUAAGCAAAGCUAAAAUCAGCAAGAAAACAGGGGUUACUUUUAUGCCUCUUACUACAGGGUUUUAAAGUUAUCACUAAGGUCUUAAGUGAUUGAAAAACAGAACGAUCAAGUCAAGCACUAUGUCUCAAGUUCUUUUGUCUUACCUUUGUUCUGGAGUUUUUUUGUAAGUUCCCAAAAUAAAACUGAGGCAUUUGCCUUCUUCUCGAAAGAUAUAUAAGUAGAGCUUUAAAAGUUUUAGCAUACUUACUUUGCAUUUUGCUAUGUCAAUGCUCGGAGCAAGGGAGAGGAAUGUCAUACUCCUAGAUCAAGACCUUUGACCUUUUUGAAUAGUUUGUCAUCUUUUACUAGCAUAUUGCUUAUUAGAGGGACCAUGGGCUAUCAUUUUUUUUCUUCUUUUUUUUCAAGUGGGCACCAAGUACCCCUAAUUCUACUGUCGGACACGUGUCCAUUUUUUCCACUCAGGUGGGUAUCUUUGUACCCCUAAUUCUACUUCGGACACUUGUCCAUUUUUACCUCUCGUCUCACUCUCUCUUUUUUUCGAAUCAAAUUUUUGCAUAGUCUCAUGCCUCUAACGCAAUAAUACUUCGGAAGAGUGAAUCUUUUAUAUUUUUAAAACAAAAAUAUCUUGAUCUUUGGAGCAUAAUAAUUCUCUCAACCAAAACUACAAGAAUUAACAAUGGCUUGAACAAAGCAAGUGCCCACAUUUUUAAUAUUUAUACCUUAUAAGACUCUAGGUAUUAUGUCAAACAGGAUCUCAUUUUUUUUAGAUUUUCAAAAGAUAAAAUCUCCAGAACUCUAGCGAAACUUGGAACAAGUUAAAUAGUAGCUCAGACCUUCUCAUAUCAUGUUCGUCAAUUACCUAGACUUGAAUCAAACUUUCUUUUUAUUUUAUUUAAAACUUAGGAUUACACAAAACUAUUAUAUAUUACUCAAAAGAAAAACUUGGUUUGGUUUCAUGGUUAUGCAUUUUUUUAUUUCCGAAUACUAGUAAAUAAAACCAAGAAAGAAAAGUAAUACUUAUCUAGAUACACGUGGGGGUGCCUCCCCCAAGCUGGAUGUUGACAUAGUCGUUCACUCUUGUGGUCUGCAUGUUCGGUCUCACUCUUCUUAAGCCUCAAAAUCCUGCACAACCCAAAUAGACAACAAAACUCGUGGAGCAUGUUAAGGGUUAGGUAAAUGUCUAGAGCUUAUGAGAGCUUAAUGUGAGAAUUCUAUGAACUCAAUCACAUCAAGUUCCUCUACCAGGUUGUUUUGUGGCUCGAGAUAGAUUUUCAAGCGUUGACCAUUUACCUUAAAAGUGUUACCUAUGUCAUCUUGGAUGGUAAUGGCUCCAUGAGUUGAAGUGUCAAUAACCUUGUAUAGUCCAUCCCACUUACUUCGUAGCUUACCAUGCCCAAAGAGCUUAACUCUUGAAUUAAAUAGUAGAACCUUAUCUCCAGGCUUAAACUCCUUGUGCUUGAUUCUCUUAUCAUGCCAUCGUUUUGUUCUCUCUUUAUAGAUCCUUGAAUUGUGGUAGGCUUUCCCUCUCCAUUCUUCUAGCUCAGAUAGUUGCAUCAGACGAUUCUCGCUAGCGAGGUGGAGAUCCAUGUUCCAUUUCUUGAGUGCCCAAUGAGCUUUAAACUCUACUUCCACAUGCAAAUGACAAGUUUUUCCAUAAACAAGUUGAUAAGAUGACAUGCCUUUGGGUGUUUUGAAUGCAGUUCUAUAUGCCCAAAGUGCAUCAGGAAGUUUGUCCUUCCACCCCUUACCCAUCUCA